RNAcentral lists this long non-coding RNA (54858 nucleotides) under Daucus carota (carrot). RNAcentral's name for it is "long non-coding RNA (DCAR_LNC004739)". The record is from RNAcentral. Lineage: Eukaryota; Viridiplantae; Streptophyta; Magnoliopsida; Apiales; Apiaceae.
AAAACAAUUCUGGUUCGAUUGUUUCUAGAGCCUCUCUGCAACUUUCUUCUACAUUUUUAAUACUAGUUUUGUGUCUAUAUCACACUCUUCCAAAUGUUAGAUGCUUCCAAAAAUAAAGAAUCCCAUGAUUGGUGUCUCUUAAUGACAUCAGUUGUUUGGUUGUUACAAUAGGCAACUUAUGGUGUAUUGAUAGUUAAACCAAGGAUUUCAUGGACAUCUUCCUCGUUUGCAUCAAAAAACUUACCAUUUAUCCUCAAAAUUGAAGGAUUUGGUUCAAACGCCACUAACAGAAACUCGAAAAUCUACAUAGGAUACUCAUUCAAGUGAAAACUUAAUAUUGAAUCAAACCCCGUAGAGCGAGCAGAUUCAUGACUUCUGAUCGUGCGAUAGUGAGGAUAGAACUUCUACAAGCAAACAAGGUUUAACCCUAACAAUGGGUUCGAUUUUUUGUCCUAUUCAUGUUUCAUAUAGUAUAUGAUAUAGAACCCUAGUUCAUUACAUAUUUUUCAUUCAUGGCCUUAUUCUUUUAUAGGUUUUUAAAGCAACAGCCCAUUUGAAGGUUCUUGUAGUUCUGAUGGUUAUGAUAUUGAUUUACAAGAUCUAUGCAAGGACCUCCCGGGUCGAAACCAUUAUUAAAUCAACGAUUCAAUUUCAUUGAUGAAAGUUUUCUCUACUAAAAAGAUUAUCGGAGAUUGUCUGAGUUUUUUGUGUGUGAUAGGCUUGUUUGUUUCUCCCUAGUGUUCUUAUAGAGAUUCUGAUAUUAUUAAGAGAUUUGUAUUAAAGUUUUACCAUAUUAAGAUAUUGUAUUAAAGUUUUACCAUAUUCACAUUGAAGGUGUCCAUUAAUGCAUAGGUUUACCAUCCAUGAUGUAUGCAUUGUAUUUAAUGAUUUUAAAAUUUGAAUUUUCUUUACUAGUUUCCUUAUUUAUGUUUGUGUAGUGUGAUUUGAUUGCUACAAGUGAGUUCCUUUCCAUUUUUAAGAUUCUCUUCGGAAUCUUACCUCAAAGUUAAUGUUAUAGUUUAACAAAUAAGGAAACGACAACUUAAUAGAAUUUUUAUUCUCAAAUAAUAAAAUAUUUAAUCUUAUACUACAAUAUUCAAAUAUUUAAUCUUACGCGGGAACACUAAAAUGAAUCCAUGAUAAAAUAAGUGAAAAUAUAAACAAAUAUGAAAAUUGUAUAAAAUUGAAAAUUCACAAUAUACCUGACAAAAAAAAAUCACAAUAUUUACUCAAAAAAAUUAUAUUAAAUUUUAUAUUAAAACAAUUUAUAUAUUAUGCACAAAUCUAAAUAUUACGAGCAAAAAAAUGUUCUAGAUCUCUCAUUACAACCUUAGUAUUUUUGAAAACACCUUAAUGAAUCUCCAUAUUAAUCAAGUUAUAAAUUUUAAAAAAACACAACUAUAUAUUUUUAUUAUAUGGAUACGUAACACCUUAAAGAAUCUCUACGAAAGAAGAUAUUGAAUUAAUAUUUGAAAAUCUUAAAUUAGCAGGACAUUUAAUGAAUGAAUUUAUUUAUUUUUAAAUUUAUCAUCUAAAAUUAAAUAAAAUGCAAAGGUGCAAUUUUUAUCGGAUUCGUAAGUAACAUCUUAAAGAAUAUCUAUGAAAUCAGUAAGAAAAAAUUUGAAAAUAUAAGUUAUUCCAUAAGAUAUUUUACAUUUUUGGUGAAGAGCGCAUGCAUUAAUAUAAAUCUUAUUUAAAUAAUUUAAAAUAUUUAUACAUUGUCAUCCAAUUUUUAAUAAAAUUGGAUACUUUGAUCAUGAAAUUGUUAUCAUGUAUCCAAGGAACACCAGAAAGAAUCUAGUAAAAAUAACUUAGUAAUUUAAUAUUAAAAAAAUAUAAAUUAGUAGGUAAAAUAUGGGUGAAAGCCCUUUAUCUCAUUUUUUCGGUUGGGCCUGCCCAAAAUAUCGAUUCUCAUCCCGCGUGUCCAAAUUGAUAUUUUGUAUGCGCAUUUGACAUAUGCGAUUAUCAACAUACGCAUAAACAAAAUGCGUAUAGCCAUUUUCUAGAUAUGUUUCCCUUUAUUUAUUUUCUGUACACGCGUUAACAAGAUGCGAGGCGCUAUACACGCAUAAUAAGAAUGCGUAUAUUACUUCAUUAUAAACACUUAUCUCACCUCUGACGUCUUUUUUGUGCUUUUUUGAUUGACUAUUUUUUUUAGACAAACCAUGGAAAUUGUUUAUGUACACACUAGACGUGAACAUUUGUAGAUUUGUAUUUGACUACUUCCUAUGUUUUUAAAUAUAUGUCUUUUGAUUUUUUGACACAUACUUGUAAAUCUUUUGACUGUAUAGUUAAAAUCAUUAUUUUUGUAAUUUUUUUUGAAUAAAAAUAUACAAAUAAUAUUAUAAUUUAAAAAAAAAGUUUAAAAAAUUACAAUUUUAACUAAACGGUUAAAUGACUUAGAAGUGUGGUUCAAAAAAUUAAGCGACCUAUAUUUCACGGAAAGAGUAUAAUUCAAGAAAAGAGAUGAACGCUUACGUGUUAGGUAAAGAUUGGCUCGGGGAGAAAUUUAAUUUGAAGCGGAGCACAAGAUGGUUGGUGACUAAAGCAAAGUAUAGGCAGGUUAUCUUGAAACGAUAUAUGCAUUUGAUGCAUGCGCAUGCACAUGGGUAGAUUGGACAUCGAUCCCGAAAAAUUGUAUUUUGGGCAAGUAACAGUAUAUUUUAUGUCAAUAUGGGCAUUUUCUCGUAAAAUAUACUACAACAGUAAAGAAAGAAUGAGAUUUUCUUCGUCAACUCAGAAUAGUAAUAAAUACAAAAGAUUUUGCAGAUAUUAAAAGUAGACCUUAUUGAUAUUAUUUUUAUUUUUAUUUUUUAAAUUUUAAUAUUAAAAUAUAUAAUUAUUUUUAUCUCUUUCCACGAACACGUUAUAAAAUUUCCAUAUCAAUUAAAACAUUAAAUCCUUAAUACAAAGUUUUUCAAAUCUCUAUUCACCUUCCAAAAAAGUUCAGAUAAUUUUUCUCACAUUUUUAAUAAUAAUAAAUUUAUGAAAGAUUAAUUUGAAUAUCUAUUGAAGCAUUUAUUUUCUAAAAUUUAAUAACGUCAAUAUCUAAAAUUUUAAGAAAAAUAUUAUCUACUUUUAACGGAUGGUAAAGAGACAUUAUUGGUUGUAUUAUGUAUUUUAAAAAAAAAUAAAAGUAAUAAUUCAACUUAAAUUAAAUGAAAAUGCAUCAUUCUUAACACUCCAUUCACGAACGCCUUAACGAAUCUCUCUCAAUUAUAUCUUGCCAUUUUUAACCAAAUUAUAAUCUUCAACCACUUUUAACCAUAGAUUUUUUGUCAAAACCUUAUAUUUUAAAUUAUAUUUGAAAAAUAACAAAAGAUAUUGUGCACAAACCUUUGAUAAAGAUAUUGUGCACAAGCCUUUGAAAGAAAAUUCGAAUGAAAAAUUUUAAAAAACGCCUUAAUGAAUAAAGUUAUAAAUAUUUUAUUGAGAAUUUUUUAAGUGCUUUCCUCGUUUAAAUUAAAUUAUUCUUAAUUAUCAUUAUAUGUAUUAUAACCGGUAGAAUCUUAAUUAAUUUAUCACUAACAUAUAUUAUAUUAAAAUUAAAUUUGACCUAUUUUAGAAUCUUAAUGUAAUCGUUCUCCUAUGCUAAGUCCGACAUAAAAAAGAAUUCUAUUUUAAUGUUUCUUCUAUGCUGAUAUAAAUUAUUUAAUCUAUUGUAAUAAAUAUUUGAUUAAGAUUUUCUUUACUAUAGGAAGAGAUAUAAAAUGUGAAUAAAAUACUUUAAAGAAUCUCAUUUAAAAAAUAAAAUACAUUAUAAAAUCCAAAAAUUAAAAUAUGAUGAUGUAGUUUGGAGGAUAAUUUAAUAUAUGAUUUCUAUAAACUUUUGAAAUAUUUUUUUAAUAAUAUUUUCUCAUUAUAAAUUUAUUGUUCAUGUCAAAUGAAUUUUUUUUUAUAAUUUAUGAUUCUUUAUAGUGUUUUUGAUUCUUUAAUCUUUGGUGUAUUCUUCCGUUUUUAUUAACGUCUCCUUGGAGGAAUAUAUUUUUAAGUUCUACUAAAUAAAAUAAAUAGAAAACUAUUUCGAGAAAUAUUAUAAUGAAUCUUUUAGAGAUCAAAAUUGUAAAACUAUCACAUUUGAUUUGAGUUAGUAUGAGGAACCCUAUAAAUUUAUAAUGAAUUAUCUGGUUCUAUGAGAACACCUAUAAGAACAUCUAUUUAAACAACACAUAUAUAAAAAAUUGCAACCAGUGUUAUGCUAUAUUCACCAUCAAGAUAAAGUUCAAUUUGAACUUGAUAGCUUUGCAAAGAUCAGAGGGAGUUACUUGAUAACAAUGCUUUGCCCUUGUUAAAUUAUUCGCCAAGCUCUUUAUCACAUUCGUCCUUUCAACAAAAACAAUAUCUUGUUCGCCAAUGAGGAACCCAUGAUUUCACGAACAUCUAUUCCUUUGACUGGAAACUUAAUACAGAACCAAACCUAGUAGAAGAAAUCCAUGAUUUUUGAUCAUCAGACAGCCUAAUCAUCGGCCUCUCGUGUCUGGACAAAGAACACGUAAAAGAAAAAUAAGAGAGGAUUCUUUACAGUGUUCUGUAAUAACUUCGUAUAUAAAAUAGUGAUUCCGAAAGAACACAUAAAAUAAAACUAAAAGGGGAUUCUGAAAGAUGAAAAACCAAAAACAAACCUUCUGUCACCAACGUUAGCUUAAGUCGACAUUGACAUUAGAAAGCUUUGCAACUUUUUUCAGUAGUUACGGGCUUGGUUUCGAGAUAUAUUUCGUAUAUAUCCAUCACUGCAAAGCUUCCUAAUAUAAACAAUCCCAUGAUUGAAGCACGAAAUCAAAAGAAUAUACAGCUUACCAUAAAAAAACGUAUACAGAUCGUAUCCCUGCAAAUAUAUAUCAGCGUAUACCCUUUUUUUUUUACCAGCGUGCCCCUGUGCUUGUUGAUAGAGUAUGAUCUGAUCAACGGCCAAUAUCACGUCUCUCUGGUCUCUUAUGUGCGUCUCUCUGGAACUUGACCCUGUAUAUAUAUAUACACACACUCUCAUAUAAAAUUCUAAAUAUUUUACCGGUUGUCACAUAUCCCGUCCGAAAACUAUCUACGCCUUGAAGGUAUUCACACAGACCAUCUUAGAGAGGAUUAGAGUGUACUAGCACCGGAAUCUUUUUGCUCUCUCUAUCUCUCUCACGAGCUCCUAGGCUUUUGUGUAUUUUUAUCAAUAUAAUAACGUAAACCUUAAUCUUGGCUUAAAAAGAUAUUAUAUAGAGAGUGAAAAGACUCCUAACUCUAAAAUAAUUUUAGAGUUUAAUUAAUCCGAAAUUCCUAGUCAUGAUAGAUUUAGUCUUACUUAAUCAACCAACAACUUAAUUUUGAUUAUUAAUAAAUUCGAAUUCCUCAUUUAUUUAAUUAAUCGAGUCCUACUCAAUUAAUCAAUAAAUAAUUUAAUUAUUACCAUUUAAUCUAAAAUUUAAAUUAAAUAAUCCUCUAAUCACUCUUUGUGUAACCCAGGUUAUUAUUAUAUUGAAAAUAAUUUAAUAUCUUAUAUUAAAAUUAUAAAUGAUGACCGGCAUCUACUAAUACAUAAUUACUACCCAAGUAAUAAUAAAUUAAACCGAUGAUCGUUUAAAACUUUCAUGAAUAAUGAAUAAUGAAUAAUGUAUAAAUUAAACUAGAAGCAUUUAAUAUGUCAUCCUCAUCUAGUUCAAUCCGUGUUUUCUUCAUGAAUGAGUAGACUACCAUUUCAAAUCAUCAUUUGAGCAUGACCACGCAUUUCAUAGUCCAUAUAUUUCAUAUGAUUCAAAUGUACCCAAAGUACACUUUUAUCAUUAACCGAUCAAAGACAAGUUUUGAGAUAAUCAAAGUACCAGAUCAAAGACAAGUUUUAAUAUAAUCAAAGUACAUUAAUCAUUGUAUAAAAAUAUAAUAAUUUUAGUUCUAACGAUCAUUACAUUAUUAUCACGGUGAGAUUACUUAUGACACCAUAGACAUGAAGGACCUCACAUUGGGUCGCACCAUAUAUGCUUGUGUUUUUGACUUUAGUAUCCCUCUACCUGUGAUCAAUGAAAUUCCGAUAAUAAUAAUACUCGAAUAGGGAUGUUUGGGAGUAUCAAUAAUAUUCUUAUAAUCUCAUUUCUAAGUCAUAUUCGGGAUAUAGAAUUCAUAUUAUAUUUCAAGGACAUUUAUUAACUAACAUUUAUAUUGCAUUAAAUAAAGAUAUAAUAACUUAUAAAAGGAAUAAGCAAUAGAAGAAUGUUAUUAAUAAUCAUAUGUCUUUACUAGUGUUGUCUGGGCAUACAAUAACAAUAUAAACCCACGUCUAGUGAAUAUUAUUAUCAAUAUUAAAGUAUCCAUAAAGAUCAUAAUUUUGUGUUCUGUAUAUGUGAUAGUAAUUAAUAUUAGCUAAUAGUAGUGCUUCUAUGAGUUUUUAAAAAUCUUCCUUUAAUAUUUAUGAGCUAUAGCUACUAUAUUAUUUUUAUUUGAAAAGAUUUACUCAAAUCCCAAUAUGAAGGUGACUCCCAAGCAUUGUCCGAAGCACGUAUAAUAAGAAGCGUUGUCCAAAUUUUUUUAAUUGGAUGAAGCGUAUUUGAUGAUCCUACCGUGCAAGCGUGUACAAGGAAGAUACACUUCAUCCAACGUGUGAAACAUCACCCAGUUUAUUAAUCCUAAGUACUAGAGCAACAAAAUCAUGAAAAUGACCAUGAUCAAUGAAGAAGCAUGAUCUACUACGUUAAGUGUCGUCUAGUACAUGAACUUUAGGAAACUAGUUUAGGCUGACUCCUAAUUUAAAUGGCAUGCCUCACUAAAUUAUCCUAGCCAAAAUCAAGUAUACCAUAAAACUAAAAAAUAAUGAAGGCCUAGAGGAGUUUUUACAUGUAUAGGAAGGUUCGUAGAAGAAUUUAAAUAAUUAAUGAGAACUGUUAAGGGUGUUUUAGUGUCAACUUCUCCCACACAAUAGUAAAUACAAUAUGCGAGUCUUCUAAAACUUUCUUGAAAGACUUGGUUCAUAUUGUUUCUUCCUUCGUAAAGUAUAGCGGUACUUUAUUAUUCUAGGCAUUUCGCCAUUUUCUUGAGAACAAUCAGUUUCUUUUGUUCAAAAGAGACACAUUAUUUGACGUUAAAUGGCAUAAUGGUCGUUUCCUUGAAUAUAUUUCAAUUAUAUGAAUAUCCACCGACUCAUUUAUUAGUUAAAACUUAUUGAAUACAAGUCUUGCUUCAAAAUUCAAAGUUUUUUUUUAAUUGGUAUUAUAUUGAUUCAUAUGACUUUAUAAUUGAAAAUGAACAACAUGAGGAGGUGUAUCCAUGUUAGUAGGUAAAGAACUACCCAGGGAGGACUAAUAUGAUCAGUGUUACUAGUGAGUCCAUGGUUACUGAUUGAAUUCUGGAAACGAUAGAGUAAAGUGGUGCUACGUUUCAACCGUUAUCGGGCUAGGCACAGCAUCACCUGAGAACAUUAUUUGCUUAGAGUUAGUUGAUCACAUUAUGGGGUACCUUGAUGGAAUGUGACUAUAUUAUCCGGUGAACGUAUAAAAAUUAAGAUACAAAUUUUAUAUUCUUCUAGUUAAUGAACUACAUGAAAAGAGUUAUUUGGUUGUUUUUAUUGAUGGAAUAUGUUACCGUUUUUGCCUUAAUUUUUGACAUUAGUGAUUGGUAUAUUGCAUGAACUCACUCAUGUGGAGUACUAUUUAUUCUUUCUUAUCACAAAUACUAGUGCUAUAUACUUGCUCAAAAUUCAGUUGUUGCUUCUUGCUAUUUUUUGGAUAAGUGUGACUUUAGCCAGUAAAAGGAAAACCAAGGGCAAGGGUCAUGCCUAAUAUUAUGAUGAUUAGCUUUGUGAUUCACUAUAUAAGCUUGUGGAUGGAUAUCAAUGGUUCUCCAAGCAUGAUAGGGGACGAGAUGCCUUUAACUUAUAUAAAAUUUAUAGUUAAUAAUAAGACUUUGUGGUUGUGUGUGAUCUUAAUCCCGGGGGAUUGUAAUAUAUUAAGAUAUUAUAAUUAUAAAAUGUUGUAAUAAAGAGUGUGUGUGGGAAGAUCCUUGGAUCUUUGAAUUGGAAAUCCAUGGGUGAGUAUAAGUUUGUAUUGUUAUUGUUAUUACUUUUGCAUUGGAAACUCCUAUUAAUAUUUAUUUGUUUUAGAUUUUAUCUACUGAGGAUCAUCUAUACUUCAAUUUCAUGCUUUAAUCGGCUUUUCCACACUAUUCUUAAUAGUGUCAGAACAAAGGAUACUAUAAGAUCAAGAAUGGAUUUGCAAGCAAUGGGUAUCAUGCGCGAGUUAUGGCUUAACGGUACACGUAAGCCAAAAGCUAAAUACAACCUCACCCGAGAUCAGUUGAAAUUACUAUGUAAAUGGGUGCAUAGAUUGAAACUCCCAGAUGGUUGUUCGUCAAACUUGAAGAGAUGUUGUAAGAUAUCUCAAUUGAAAUUUCAAGGCAUGAAGUCACAUGAUUGUCACGUAUUUAUGCAGAAGUUGUUGCCUUCAGCUUUUCGUGAACUUCUUCCAGAUGAUGUGAACAAACUACUUUAUGACUUGUCAAAUUUUUUCAAACACUUGUUAAAUGGUUAUUGCCUUUUACUCUUGACCAUUAUGUAAAUGAUUAUCACAUUAAAAUUAAAUUGACAAGCACUUCAUGUUGUGGUUAACUAUUGUAGUUAAUAAAUUUAUCCAACCACAAUAAGCCAGUUUGUUGUAGUUCAUGUAAACUUAAUUAAAUAUCAAAAACCUUAUUUAUUAUGUUGGGUCCUCAUUUUAUUUUAUUAAUAUACAUAUAAAUAUUAUAGUUUAAGUUUGUUUUAAUUUUGCUGAGCUAAUUAUUAAUAACUUACAAAGCAGAAAACUAUUGCCUUGUAAUUAUGCUAAGGAAUAUAUAUAUAUAAAGCUAUAUAUAUGCUUUGAAGAGUUCUCUUACAUAUAUGAGAAAUGACAAUUAAAUAGCUGAACUUAGACUAAUUUCAGCGGAGUACCUUACUAUCAGGAAGAAAACUUUAUCCUAUAUUGGCUGUUGACUGGGGGCACCUCCCCCAGUGCACAAUAUAUAGGUCGGCCCCUGUACUUAAUGAAUUAAGUUAGUUGCUACAGAUUCCUUCAUUAUUUCAUCAUGUUUCCAUUUAGUGUAUAUAUAUGUUUUUAUCAACUUUUUAAUAAAUUAUUUUGUAUGUCUAUUGUAGGGCAAGGCUAUCGACAUUGGGGAUGGUGCUGAUGUUGAUCAAAACGGGAGGGAUGAUGAGAGCACCGACUCCGAAGAUCGUGACAUGAGUCAUCCCUAUAUUGUUGUGCCUAGGGGUGGUCCAGUUAUUAAGGGAUCAUAAUAUUUAGUUUUAUAAAUGUAACUUGACUUUGUAUGGAUGUUUGUAUGAUAUUCUAUUUUUGGUACAAAUAUUUAUUAGGAUGUUAUUUAAUGAAACUAUGGUAUUGCAUAUUUAUUUGUUGGAUUGGUUUAUAUUAGUUGAAGUGUUUGUUAGAGUAGUAAAAGAUGUUGAACAUGAUUUGGUGUGGAAAAAAUUUGAAUGCCACAAAAUGGUGGGAAUAAAGCCAAAUAAAGCAGAUUAUUUUAUAUGAGUUUUAAAUCUACGACGGAACAAUGCGUCAUAAGUUUCAGUUUUUCUCCAAAAUUUACGACGGAUGUUCAUACAUAACUUCUGUCAUAACAUAACUACCGACGGACGUUCCGUCGCAAGUUCAACUUUCUUCAAAAGGAAAACCAGGACCCACAACAUACAUGCGACGGAAACUUCCGUCGUAAGAUAGUUAACAUACGGCGGACAGUGCGUCGUAAGAUAAAAUUUAUCCAGGCAAGGAUUUGGGGCCCACAACAUACUUGCGACGGAAAGUUCCGUCGUAAAUUCCGUNAGUGCACAAUAUAUAGGUCGGCCCCUGUACUUAAUGAAUUAAGUUAGUUGCUACAGAUUCCUUCAUUAUUUCAUCAUGUUUCCAUUUAGUGUAUAUAUAUGUUUUUAUCAACUUUUUAAUAAAUUAUUUUGUAUGUCUAUUGUAGGGCAAGGCUAUCGACAUUGGGGAUGGUGCUGAUGUUGAUCAAAACGGGAGGGAUGAUGAGAGCACCGACUCCGAAGAUCGUGACAUGAGUCAUCCCUAUAUUGUUGUGCCUAGGGGUGGUCCAGUUAUUAAGGGAUCAUAAUAUUUAGUUUUAUAAAUGUAACUUGACUUUGUAUGGAUGUUUGUAUGAUAUUCUAUUUUUGGUACAAAUAUUUAUUAGGAUGUUAUUUAAUGAAACUAUGGUAUUGCAUAUUUAUUUGUUGGAUUGGUUUAUAUUAGUUGAAGUGUUUGUUAGAGUAGUAAAAGAUGUUGAACAUGAUUUGGUGUGGAAAAAAUUUGAAUGCCACAAAAUGGUGGGAAUAAAGCCAAAUAAAGCAGAUUAUUUUAUAUGAGUUUUAAAUCUACGACGGAACAAUGCGUCAUAAGUUUCAGUUUUUCUCCAAAAUUUACGACGGAUGUUCAUACAUAACUUCUGUCAUAACAUAACUACCGACGGACGUUCCGUCGCAAGUUCAACUUUCUUCAAAAGGAAAACCAGGACCCACAACAUACAUGCGACGGAAACUUCCGUCGUAAGAUAGUUAACAUACGGCGGACAGUGCGUCGUAAGAUAAAAUUUAUCCAGGCAAGGAUUUGGGGCCCACAACAUACUUGCGACGGAAAGUUCCGUCGUAAAUUCCGUAACUUACGACGGUUUUAAUACUUACGACGCAUGUUUGGAAUUGUGACGUAUGGUGCAACUUUCGACUUGACCAAAAACGAUGGAAAAAGUCCGUCGUUAAGUAAGAACUUACGACGGACUUGCGCCUUAACUUCCGUCGUAAAAACCCAGUUUUGUUGUAGUGUACACCUUGUUUUAUACUAAAUUAUCCAUGUCUUUUAUCAUUUCAACCAAAUAACUUAUCAAUUCGAAGGGGUAAUUUAGUACAAAGUAGAUGGAAGGGUGUGCAUAAAUACAUUUCGGGUGUGCAUAAAUACAAGUCGACUCAUAAAGAAAGUGAAUGACCAGAAGAGUAUCAAGAGAGAGACUGAAUCUUUGAAUUGAAAAUCCAUCCGUGAGUAUAAGUUUGUAUUGUUAGUGUUAUUGCUUUUGCAUUGGAAACUCCUAUUAAUAUCUAUGUGUUUUAGAUUUUAUCUAAUGAGGAUCAUCUAUACUUCAAUUUCAUGCUUUAACCGGCUUAGUACAACAUAUGUGGUUUUUACCACCAUAAAUAUUAGGUAAAAUUAAUUCUAAAUCCUUGAAUUAUAGGCACUUUUUUUUCUAGGUCCCUCAACUAUAAAUGUCAAUUCAUAAGUAAUUCAACUCUUGAUAUAAAUGAUAUAAUCCUUGAAUCAAAAAACAAAACUUAAAUGCAAACAUAUUUGUGGAGUAAUAUAUAGUUCUUAUUAUGAUUAAGAUCAUAAUAUAGUAUUCUCAUAGAAUAUAUAUCAUCUACCAUAUAUAUCAUAGUUGAGUUAAUAUGAUUUGAUCAUUCAAAUAAGAUUAAAUAGGUGUAUUACAAAAUUAUAAGGACUCGAAUAAAAUUUAGUUAAAUUAUAUAUAAAUAUAUAUAUAUAUAUAUCACAAAUUAAAGAAUUCGAUUACUAAUAUAAAAUAUUUAUUAGCAUAAAUAUAUAACAAACCAACAAAUGUAGAAGGUAUAUGGUAAUCUCAAGAUUCAGAAAUGGUAUGAUAUAUGUCGUCCUUACCUUAAUUCCUAGACAUCAACUUGUGUGAAACUUGUAUCCAGAUGUUAAGUAGUACAAAAAAAAAACACCAAUAGUUCAACAUAUGCUAAGGCUCUCCCAUACUUAGUAAAAAAGGCCUGAACAACAAAGCACAACUUGGUUGAUAAAUGUCAAGAAGUAGGACCCAACCGAUAAUAAUUUUAUAAAUUGAACAUUUUAAAGAGGAUUAUACAAAUAUAUAGAGUAUAUACAUAUGCUAAUGAAUUAAUUUAUCAUAUAUAUACAUGAAAAUCUAUAUUGAUUGAUGUAUGUUUUUAAAUCCCCAGUGGGAUUAUACAAAUAUAUAGAGUAUAUACAUAUGCUAAUGAAUUAAUUUAUCAUAUAUAUACAUGAAAAUCUAUAUUGAUUGAUGUAUGUUUUUAAAUCCCCAGUGUUGGACUUCGAUCCCGCGUCUCCUCAUUGUUGGAGUUACAAAUUCAACCAUACAACCACUUGAGCUAGGGAUCACCGGUGUUGAUUAUCUUAAAAUAUAUGUAUAUACAUAUAAAUUUAAGUCUAUUAAAUAAUUUUAUCAAUAUUAAGGUAUCCGUAAGAAAUCAUAAUUUGUUUUUCUAUAUAUGUGAUAGUAAUUAAUAGUAGGUAAUACAAGUGCUUGUAUAAGUUAUUAAAAUGAAUCCUUGAAUAUUUUUGAGUUAUUAUACAUUAUUAUUGUAAUUUUAAGAGAUUAACUAAAAUGCCAAUAUGAGGGUCACCAUGAAACAUUGAACCAAAACAAGAAGCGUUGUUAUAAUUUUUUUAAUAAGAAGAAGCGUAUUUGAGGAUUCUAGGUUGCAAGCGUCUACUAGGAAGAUACAGUGCACCCAAUUGUUGAAGCAUCACCGAGUUUUAAAAUCCCAAUUAGUAAAUAAAAAAAAACAUGAAAAUGGCCGUGCUCAAUGAAGAAGCAUCACCCACUACAUUAAGUGUCGUCUAGUUCAAAGCAUUCCGUCAUUUUCUUUAUAACGGUUAGUCUCUUUUGUUCAAGAGAGCCACAUUGUUUACGUUAAAUGACAUCAUGGUUGUGUCCGUGAAUGUAUCUAAAUCCUAUGAAUAUCCACUUAAUUAUUUGUUGGUUAGAACUUAUUUAACAUAUUUCUUGCUUAAAAUUAAAAAAUUUCUUUUAAAUCGGUAUUAUAUUGAUGGAAAUGACAUUAUAACUGAAAUUGGUCAACAUAGGGAGGUGUAUCCAUGAUAGUGUGUAAAUAACUACCUAGAGCGGACGGAUAUGGUUAUGGGUUAAUAUUAGUGGGUCUAGUGAGGCUGUGGUUACUCAUUGAAUGCUAACAAUGAAAGAGAGAGGUAGUUCUAUGGUUCAACAAUUAUCGGGCAAGGAACUGUGUCACCAUAGAGAAAUAUUUGCUCCGUUAUAGUUGAUCAGAUCAUGGGGGUAUCGGGAUGAAUAUAUGACAAGAUUAUCUAGUGUGAUAAAAAUUUAAAGAAUUUUAUUCAUUUGGUUAAUAAACUGCAUGAAUAUAUUUAUUUGGUUGUUUCAAAUGAUGCAAUAUAUUUGGUUGCUUGAAGGGCCUCUCACAAUGGUACUUGAUCCAACUGUUGUCUACAACUAGCUAUAACAAAGCUUUGUCUUACAAAGUAGUUGUUGUCCUGCUUUGACACCACGGGGAAAGAAGUUACCAUUGUUUAGAAAAAUUUAUAAAAGAAAAUAGAUAGCUUUGGUUGACACUAAUAAAACGUUGUAUGUAAGUUAGAAAACUAUUGUUAUAAAACCUCUUGCAUAAAUGUUCUUGUCUUAAAUUGUGGUCUACAGAAGGCUACUACAAGGCAUCUUUUUCAGACCUGUUGUUGCAAUGGUACUUGAUCCAACUGUUGUCUACAACUAGCUAUAACAAAGCUUUGUCUUACAAAGUAGUUGUUGUCCUGCUUUGACACCACGGGGAAAGAAGUUACCAUUGUUAAGAGAAAUAUAAAAGAAAAUAGAUAGCUUUGGUUGACACUAAUAAAACGUUGUGUGUAAGUUAGAAAACUAUUGUUAUAAAACCUCUUGCAUAAAUGUUCUUGUCUUAAAUUGUGGUCUACAGAAGGCUACUACAAGGCAUCUUUUUUAGACCUGUUGUUGCCAUGCUUUCCGACCAUAGGGUAGUCGAUGUAACGUUGUUUAACAGAAAAUAUAAAAAAAAUAGAAUGCCUUACUUGACAUGAAUACCCCGUUGUUUGUCACUUAAAAACGACUGUAUUAUAUGUCUUUUAACAAUUGUCUUUUAUAAGACAAUGUUGUUCUUAAGUACUUUAACAAGCAACAUGUAACUAUUGUGCUAUAUUGUUCUAACAAUGGUUAAUUCGUACUUGUCAGAUAUAAAUCAGAUGGCGGUCCGAUACUCAACAGGAGAUUUCAAGGUUAGACAAGGAUGAAAAACAGUUAUGUGAACUUGUUUUCUUUGUAGUGAUUUUGCCUUAAUUUUUUACAAUUUUCAUUGGUAUACAGCUUGAACUCACUCAUGGCGAGUAUCAUUUAUUGUUUAUUAUCACAAAUGUCAGUGGUAGAUACUUGGUGAGCAUUUAGUUUCUCCUUCUUGCUAUUUUCUUGAAAUCUUUUUUACACAGUUUAGUGUGAGAAGGAUGAGCACUUUAGCCAAUAAAAGAAAAUCAACGGCAACGGUCACGCCUAACAUAUGAUGAUUAGCUUUGUAAUUUGGGUCUUCAAGCAUUGUUGGGGGAGAUUCUUUUAAUUUAAUUUUACGACGUUUAUAGUUAUAAUAAUAAAACUUUGUGGUUGUGAUCUUAAUCCACAGAGAUUGUAAAAUCGUAAGAUAUUGUAACUACAAAUUGUUGUAAUAAUGAGUGUGGGUGCAAUAAUCCUUGGUUCUUUGAACCGGAAACCCAACUACCAAUAUAAGUUCCUAUUAUUAUUGUCACUGCCUGUUGCAAUUGUAAUUAGUGGUUAGCUGGUGUGGAGACAAGAAUUCGUGGCAUAGGAGUAGUAUUUGUUGUUUUCAGAAGAGGAAUCAUUUUUUCUUCAAAGUAUUUUUCUUUGUUUCUAUUUUCAGCAUAUAUCCUCAUAAAGAUACUUCUUUUUCAAAUAAAGAACCUCCACUGUAAUGUUGUUUAUCUUCCUCUCUCCCUCUCCCUCAAAACAAGAUCCAACAUUCCCACUAGUGCCUAUUAAAAUUCAGUUACCAUUUGACUAUAGAAAAACCUGUGAUUUUAAUUUUUACAAUAGAAACUCCUAUUCAUAUUUUUAACUUUAGAUUUUAUUUAAUUAGGAUUAUAUAAGACUCCAGUCUCAUGCUUUAACCGGCAAGGUACUUAUAUUUAACAUAUUUUGCAAGAAUAGUUCCUUAAAAAAGUUUAAGCAAAUGUUUUAUAGUUUCAAAAAUUUUAAAACAAGGAAGUGGUGAGGAACUUGACUAGUUUUUGGUUAACAAUAGUGGUCUUAACCACCAUAAACAUUAAAAUGUGCAAUUUCCUAUAAAUAUAACUUAUAUAAUAUAAUACCCAACAAUAUGUGUGAUUUAAAUCUACAUGUUUUCAGAAUUUAUAUUAUAAAUAAUAUAAAUUUUGAAUCAAUAUGGCGAAAAGUUUAUUGUGAAGGAUUAUAAAAAGAACAAAACUUGAAUGCAAACAUAUUUAUAAAAUAAUUUAAAGUUAUUAUUAGGAUUAUGAUAUGGUUAAUAGGUCACUCAACUCGUGGCUAACUUGCAGUUGAGUUAUUUAACUUAAUUAGCUUGCAGUCAACUAACUGAAAUAACAAAACUUUCAUUUAGAUACAACUGCUGGUGUGGUUAAUAAAAUGGACCUAACGGACCGGAAUAUCAAUUUUUGUAAAAUAUCUUUAUCUUUUAAAAUUUUAUGGAGGCAUUUCUAUAAGUUCGUAAAUUCAAAUUUUAUGGGGGGACCCCUAUAAUUUUGUAAAAAUUAUAGUGGUGUAAACUUGGGAUAAUAGGCUAAUACAUAACGAACUGACCUCUAACUUGAAUUUGGUUUAUUAAACUGAUAAAAGCUUACAUUUAGAUAUAUGCGAAGACCCAACUAUGCUAAAGUCUUCUCUUAAAGUCAAACAAGGGUUAAUGAUUGUGUAAACUUUUUAAUGUUAAAUGACUAAAUAGCAAGUUCAAUCUAGUUCCGUGAUCCGUUUGCAAGCUUUGUGUGUUUAAUAUCCCACCUGCAAGUUUAUCAUUAGUUGAGUAACCUUUUAGUCUUUUAACCCGAUUAUGAUCAUAUAGUAUGCAUAAAAUAUAUACAAUAUAACACAAAUGUGGUAUAUUAUAAUCUCAAGAUUUGGGGAGGGUAUGAUGUAUGCAGUUCUUACCUUCAUUUGUAAACCCCAUAUUAUGUGCAAAGAUGUAUGGAGAUGUGAAGUAAUAGUACUCUACAGAUGGGGAAAAAAAUACAAAUCAAUGGUUCAACAUAUGGGAAUAGGAAGAUCUCGUAGUACUCUACAUAUGGGAAAAAAUAAUACAAUAUCAAUAAUUCAACGUAUGAGAAGGCUAGCAUAUGCUUAUUAAGAUAAGCCUCAAAACAUAAUAAAACACAACUCAGUUCAAUAAAAGUCAAGAAACUCGACCAAACAAUGAAAAAAGCUCUAAAUUGAAAGUUUUAGAGCAAAAUACAAAUAUAUACAAUAUAAAUAAUCUACAGAACUAAUUACUCACAUAUGUACAUGAAAUUCUACUUCGAUUAAUGUACUUUUUCAACCCUGGUGCCGGGCUUCGAUCCCGCGUCUCCUCGUUGUUGGGGAAACAAAUUCACCCGCACAACCAGUUGACCUAGGGAGCACCGGUGUUAAUUAUCCUAAAAUAUAUGGAUAUAUAGGAAGGCCUAGAGGAAUUUUUACAUGUAUAGGAAGGACCAUAGAGGUCUUUAAAUGAUUAAUGAACAUUGUCGAGGGUGUUUUAGUGUCGACUUAUCCGGCCAAUAGUAAAGGCAAUAGACUAGUUUUCUACAACUUGUUUGAAACUGUCGAUUGAUAUUGUUUCUUCCUUUGUAAUAAAGUAUAUGGAUAUGGCUACUUUAUUGUUGAAAGAGUUCCACCAUUUUCUUCAUAACGGUUAGUCUCUUUUGUUUAAAAGAGACACAUUAUGUGACGUUAAAUGACAUAAUGGUUGUGUCCCUAAAUAUAUUUAAAUUCUAUGAAUAUUCAUUGACUCAUUUAUUUUGUAGAACUUGUAGAAUAUAAGUCUAGCUUCAAAGUUAUAAUUUUUUUUUCAAUUAGUGUUAUAUUGACUCAGAUGACAUUAUAACUAAAAAUGGUCAACAUGGAGAGAUGUAUCCAUGAUAGUGUGUAAAGAACUACUCCGAGCGGACAAAUAUGAUUAGUGUUUUUAGUGAGGUCAAGAUUAUGAUUGAAUGUUCUCAAGGAAGGAUUAAUGUGGUGCUACGUUUCAAUGGCGAUGGGGCCUGCAGGCAUGGUAUCACAUGAACAAUAUUUGCUCUGUGAUAGAUUCUGUGGUGAGUAGAUGAAAAUUUAGACAAGAAGUUUAUAUUUUUCUCGUUAAUGAACUGUAUGGAAAGAGUUAUUUGUGUUUUUUAAUUGAUGGAAUAUGUACAGUUUUUACCUUCAUUUAUUACAUUUGAGACUGUAUAUAGCUUGACCUCACUCAUGUCGAGUUUUAUAUAUUCUUUCUCACAAAUAUCAGUCUAUACACUUGCUGAGUAUUUUGUUGCUCCUUCUUGCUAUUUUCUUGAAAUCUUUUUUGAAUAGUUAAGUGUGAGACCGAUGAGCACUUUAGCUAGUAAAGGAAACCAAGGGCAAGGGUCAGGCCUAACAUGAUGAUUAUUAGCUUUUUGAUUCAGUGAAUAAGAUCGAUGAUCCAUGUUGGACCAUUGUAGGAGGAAGAUGUCUUUGAAUUAUAUGGAAUUUAUAGUUAUGAAUAUAAGACUUUACGAUUGUGAUCUUCAUGAGAGAUUAUAAUGUAUUAAGAUAUUAUAAUUAUAAAACAUCGAUGAUCCUUGGGCAAUAAACUAGAAACCCAUGGGUGAGGGUAAGUUUGUAUUAUUAUUGUUAUUAUUUGUUGCAGGUGUAAGUAGUGGUUCGAUGGUCUCGAGACCUGAAUCAAUAUGAGAUGAAUCUUGAGGUUGCACGAGUAUUUGUUAUUUCCUAAGGAGGAAUCAUUUUGUCUUCAAAGUCCUCAUGUUUGAACAUAUCCAUAUAAAGAUAGUUUUUCUAUCAAAACAACUUUCAUUUUUAACAAUCCUAUACUGACAAGAUAUUUGAAUAUCUGCAAUAAAGAUUCAAAAUAGAGCACUUCCACUUUAAUUCCCUCUAUCCCGAUAAGAUCCACUACUCCGACUAGUGCCAAUUAAAAUUCAGUAAUCUUUUGGCUAAAGAAAAAUAUACCAUUUUAAUUUUUACGGCUGAAACUUCUAUAAAUAUUUUUUAGCAUUAGAUUUUUUUUAACGAGGAUCAUCUAACAUGUCACUUUCAUGAUUAAACCAUUAUAGUACUUAUAUUUAACGUAUUUGACAAGAAUAGCUCCUUAAAAAUUUUAAGCAAAUGUGUUAGAGUUUGAAAAUUUUAUGAUGAGGAAUGUGUUGGCGAACUUCACUAAUUUUUAGUUAACAAUAUAAGUGGUAACUAAGAUAGAUAUUAAAAUGUGCAAUUCCCUAUAAAUAUAAUUUAAUAUACUACCCAACAAUAUGUAUUCUUUAAAUCUAUAUGUUUUUUAAAUUAUACAAUAAAUAUUAUAAUCCUUAAUCGAUAUGGCCAAACUUUUAUCAUUGAUGAUUAGAAAAAGAACAAAACAUGGAUUCAAACAUAUUUGUAAAGUAAUCUAAAGUUCUUAUUUAGAUUAUGAUUAUAUAGUAUGCAUAAAAUAUAUAUUAUCUACUACUUAAUAUAUCAUGUUCAAGUUAAUAUGAUUUGAUAAUUCAAAUAAGAUUAAAUAAGUGUAUUAUAAAACCCUAAGAAGUCAAAUAAUGUUAGGUCCUAUUAAUUCACUAUAUAUAAUAAUAUAGUGAUCACAAUAUGUAAUACAGUAUGACAAUAUAAGAGAUCGAAAGCAGUAAACUCUUAUGUUCACAAAACUUGAUGGUUACAAAAACUCUCUCAGUGAUUUAUAUUCUAUCACCAAGAGCUGCUAGGGUUCUUAACAAUAUACUUGAUAACUCAACUCAUAUAGAGUAACCCUAAUCUGUGUUUAUAUAGACACAGUUACAAAAUCAAUCUCUGAUUUGAUAUCCUAUAAAUCAGCUAAUAAAUCUAUCAAUCAAAGAUUGCUCCAGUUUUCUGUUUAGUUUCCAUAGUCAGCAAAUCACUCCUCAGCUUCUAUCCUUCCUUGAAGUAUAUCCGCUUCUGAGCUCUUUCCACGUGUAAACUCUGUCGAGUCUUGACUAUGUAAACUCUGAUCAGACUUUAUCAAACUCUGUCAGACUUUACUAAACUCUGAUCAGCUUCCAGUUUAAACUCUGAUGAUUCCUGUUCUAAAACAAACCUUAAGAACAUUAGUAAUCAUCAAUUAUAUCUAACAAUCUCCCCCAACUUGUGCAUGAAUAAGUUAUGUGCAAGUUAACAGAUAAUUGAUGAUGUCAAAACAUUUAAGUCAAAUGCAACAGAGUUUAACUAUAUAACAGAAAACUUUUAAAACUUACAGAUACUUUACUCCUUAGCUGCAUAGAUACCAUUUGUUGUCUUUAGAUACUCUCUGAGGAGUUCUUUCUCAGCUUCUUCAAGCACUGCAAUCAUUUGUCUCUUGAUCUCUCUCAGCUCUGGAUCUGAAACUCCAGUUUGAUAAAUUGCAGCUCUGAGAUCAUAAAUCUUGUUCUUCUUCAAGUCCCUAUCCAGCCUGAUAUUGUAAGCUUUAUCAGACUCUUCAUUAAAUGCAAGAGUUCUGAUUCCACCUAUUGUUUCAAUCUUUGCUGAAUUUUUCUUCAUCUCCACCAGCUGUCCUUUAUGAUUGAGGUAUUUAGGAAUGAAAGGUCCAGCAUUUUUGUUUCCUGUAAUCCCCAUCUUUCUUCUGAUUUGAUCUUUUAGCAGGUUGGAGAUGUGUUGUCCUGACUUGUUCUUUACUUGAAAUAUGUAUGAUACAUAUCUCAAUUCUUCCCAGUGUUUAGCAUAUAGAUCUGCUUCAAGUACUCUAAACACUGUUCCAUCAGACAUGAAGUAGAUAAGGAUAUUAUCUCCUCUGUCAUUCUUUACCAACUGGACUGAAUCAAGUUUGUCCAUUCUGUCUUGCAAUACUCCAGUCUUGGGAGCACAGAGAGAUGAGGGGUCAUCUGGUCUUGAUCCUAUACUCUGAUCAAAUUUUUCAUACUUGGAUCCCAGCCCUCCUUUAUCUCUUCCUGCCUUUUGAUGAGAAAAUGGUUUAAUUGAGCCUUUUUCAAAACUUAUUUCAGUCAUCAGAGUAGGCUUUGCAAAUCCAGCCAGUGGAGUAGUUGUUGGUUUGAACACAGCUUGAGCUUUGUCAGAGACUGUGUCUUUCUUUGCUUCCUUAUUGACUUGAGCUGUGUCAGAGGUCAAUCUUUCUUUUUGAGGUUCUGCAACAUGAGCUUUGUCAGAGAUUGCAGCUUCUGUUUUCUUUUCCUUCACAACUUGAUCCUUGUCAGAGGUUGUAGGCUUCUUCUUUUCCCAGCCUUUCUCCAGAUUUUCAUCUACUUUGCUUUUACCCUUGGAGGUGUAUUCAUCUUCAGAGUAUACCUUUUUGACUGGUAAACUCUGAUCAGCAACAGUAGAUUCCUUGAUCAGUAUUCCUUUUUCUUUUGGCUUGGUAGUUGACUUUGCAGGCUUUUGGAUCUUUCCAGAGUUUAUGGCUUCAAUAUGUUCCUUUUUCAGCUCAGCUUCCUCUGCAGCAAUCAACUCCAAAUCCAAAUUUGCUUCUGGAUUUUCUUGUUCAAAAACCAAUCUAGCAAGCUCUUCAUCAGUCAUGGGUUUGUCUGAUCCAGUCACUGGUCUUUGCUUAGAUCCAGAUGUGAUGUUGUGAGUUGGACCAGACUUUGUGCUUUGCUUAGAUUGUUUCUGACUGUCAGAGUUUGAAACUCUUCCACCAGUCCCUGCUUGAAAUCUCUUGUGCUUUGUGAAAUCAUCAGCAUCAUCAUCAUCAUCCUUUUUCUUCCUCUUCAGAGUUUGAGUAGUAGACUUGCAUUUGACUUGAGCUACUCUCUCCCCCUUUUUGACAUCAUCCUCAUCAGGAAUCAGAAUGGAUGUGAUCAGAGAAAGUGAAGUUUGGAUAGCUUCAAGCUGUUUGGACAUCUUUUCUUGAUUGGAUUCAAUCAAGGUCAUCCUUUGGUUAAGAGAUUCAUUUGUAGUGACCAGCUUCUGUACACUUUCUUUCAUAGGAUUGAUGGUCCUUUUCUUUUCCAGGUCAUUUGUCUCCUUGACCUUUGCCACCUCUGUUCUUAGACUAUCAAUGGAUUUAGAUGUCUGGGCAUGAGCAGGAUGAAAUGUCUUCAGAUAUAGAAUUGUGCCCUUGAGGCUUGACAUAACAUCAGAGUUUGUAAUUUUCUUCUCUGCCAUAGCUAAGAACUCUUCAGCUUUAGGUGUUUCCAAGGAGUGCUGGUGACUCAACCAGAGUUUAUCCCAGACUUCAUUUGGUGGAUCAACCUGAAGAUCCCUUGGGAGUGGCUCAGAGGCUGUAUUCAGAGUUUGUAGCCUUGCAUUGAACUGGCUAGUAGACUCCCAUUUCUGUUGUGUCAAAGGGAUUUCAGCAUUGUCAUCCUUGUCAGUAUCUGAACUGGUAUCAUCCUCAGUAUCAGAGUUUGCUUUUUCAUCUGCAGGAACAGGAUCUGCAACUUUCUCCACAUUAUCCUGAGCAGAUUUUCCUUUAUCUUCAGACUGUGACUUGAUGGGCUCUUCACCAGUCUGAGCAAGAGUUUGUAAAGCUUCCACAGCUACUUUGUCAGUUUCAUCAACUACAUCAGACCUGUAGUUCUCUGGAGCUGUAUCAUGAACAAUGGCAUCCUCUGGAAUUUUCAUUGGAGAUUGAGGAAUUUGACCAUGAUCAGAUAGUGGAGUUUGACAAUCAGACUGAGUUGCUCCAGCUUCAGCAGUAACUGGUUCAUCACACCUGAUCUCUUCAUCUACUGCAGAUGCUGUAGGAGAUGCUUUAGGAGAUGUUGUAGGAGAUAAUGGUGUGGCAUCAGUGAUAGGAACAGCUUGAAGAGGUUCCACCAUCAGAGCUUGAGAAGGAUCAACAGGAAUUGGGCUUGAUGGUGUUUGCUCUUCUUGGAUAGUGAAAUCAGUAAUUUCAGAUUCUGGAAUCUUGGCUCUCUUUGGCUUGUGUGCCCUUCUUUUGAAUCUAGCUGGUUUUUGUUGAGGACUAGACUGAGCAGGUUCAUUGGUUGUUGUAGGUGUAGGUUCAGAGUUUACAUCUUGUGCAGGUUCAAGAUCAUCAAAGUCAUAUGCUGCAACAAGCCUUCUUCUUUUCUUCUGCUUUGGAGGAGAAGCAGCUUCAGAGUUUACUGGGACAUCAGAGUUUGGAGAAUCAGAGUUUACUGGUAUAUCAGACUUUGUCUGUAGAACUUGUGUAUCGACAGAGGUUCUGGUUUUUGUUGUAGAGGGUUGGUCAUCAGACUUUAUUGAUUUGGAUGGUUUUGUAGUUGAUGAUCUGGGUUUUCUGGUGACUGUGGGAGAGGUAGGAUGUUGUGGUUGAGAUUGUUGAGGCUGUGGUUGUGGUUCCUGAGGAAGAUUCAGCCUUGCCCUGAAUGGAGCUGGGAUUUGCAGAGGCCUGAGAACUGGUCUCUUCUCAUCUUUAGAUAUGAGAUCCUUAAAAGCCCUUUUAUGAAGUUUAAAAGGUUUGAUCUCAUCUGCAGCAUCAAAAUCCACUUCUCCAACAGUGGCAUUAAACAACAAUUGACAAAAUCUUGAGAAAUAUAUGACUUUCCUGUUCUCAAGCAUUCUUUCACCAAUAUUUCUAAGAACUAAUCUACCAAAAUCAAAAGCAGUAGAAUAGAUCAGAGAAUACCCGAUCUGUAGCAUGUCCAUUGGAAUAGCAUCCCAGUUUGUAGAUUUCUUCUGGAAAGCUCUGGUAAUGCAAUCAAAGAAAAAACUCCACUCCUUAUUGAGCCAUGGACGCUUCAACUGACCCAGUUUAUCCAGAGAUUCGUAGUACCCCAAUUCAAGCAUCAUUGUUCUGAGAUUUGCAUCUCCAUUGGUAAUGUACGCAGAAUGUUCUGGCAAGUUGAGUGCCUGACGAACUGUUGCUGGAGUAACUGCAUACUCCUCCCCGUCAUAGGAAAACACAAUUGAUGGUGAUCCAUCUGCACCACCAUUGUCAUAUGUACCCGACCUCCAAAAGCUGAUGAUUUGGCUUCCUGAAAGUCUUGCAGGAGCGGUGAGAGCUGUACCGAUGACACUCUGUGCCAAGAAUCGCUGAAAGGGAUGAUAAUCCCUUGGGGCUUCAGCAGUGUCAAGGAUGGCUGCAUAGUUAUUAGGAACGAAUUCAACACCUGCCAAGAUAAAAGCUGUAGUGGCCAUUAGAACAGAGAUUAUGAAAAGAAGAUGUUUGAGGAAGUGUGUAGACGAAGAUUUGAAUUGCAGAGAACAGAGUGUAAGAGUUUUGUUUAGAAGGUGAAUGUAGAGAGUAAGUGUAAAAUUGAAUAAUAAGCAAUAAAAUCUGAUCUGAAAAACUCUUCAGAUUUUGUUGAACUGAGCACGCAUGGGCUUUUUGUUCAAUCAGACACCUGUCAAAAUGUAACUGGUAGAUGAGUGUUAGUGGGAUGGAGAAACGAGAGUAAUAAUCAUGAGUGCAGUAAAACAUGCGCAGUAAUAAAUGCUGAUUACACGUUCUCCUAUUAAAAUGUUUUGCAUGUAAACCCACUAAUAAUACAUCCGUUUGAAACACAUUCUCUUCACAUUCUCUGAAUAUUUGAAAAAAAAAUCAAGAUCAAAUCUCUCGAAUUUUUAAACUCUGAGAUUUAAGACAAAGAAAAUAAAUUUCUGCGAACCUCAGAAUAAAGACAUAAUUUUCAGAAUAUUCAUCAAUAAAUCAGAGUUUGUUCUAAAAUCCAUAGCUCAAUAAUGUGCUUGUGAAAUGUGUGUGUGGUCAUGUUAAAUCAGAGAAUAUAAAAUUUCACAAUUUCGUAAUUAUAAGGUAGACUUUGAAUAAUUUAUUCAAACUCUCAAAACUUAGACUAGGACAUACUCUGAAGAUAAUCAAUAAUCUACCCCCUUUUUUUUUUUUUUUUUUCGGUCAUCAGGACGCUUCUCAGUGUGAGUGAGGCACGACCUUUAAAUAUACUAUUGCAUUAGUAUUUCUCCAGUAAUCAGAGAUUGUGACUGGUCACCAUAGAUUAUAAAAUCUUAGCAAUUACUUAAUACCAGCAAAUGUUUGGUUCUUUCCAGUCACUGUCAUAUUAACAUCUAAGAUCUCAAAGGAGUACCAUGCUUAUUUUUCAGGGGGUUUUGUCUCAGGUAACAAAAACAUCAGAGUUUAUAAUCACUGUCUAGUAUAUGAGAGAAAAUUUAAAUUAAUCAGUCUCACUUAUAAUUAAGAUAUGUGAAGUAGUAGAGUCUCAAUGAUAUCAGCAUGCAUAGUGUGAACUAGUGUAGCACAAAAUUGAGAUCAGGAUUAAGGAACUUAGCUGAGAUUCAUGAUUACUCAUUCAGAACAUGCUUCAUGGUAUCUUCAUAGGUGAUUUGUCUCAGAGAAGAUAAAAAUGAGAUCACUUAUCAAGAUUCAGAGUUUUAUAAGCAUCAGAGAAUAUUAUCAGAGAAUGUUAUCAGAGUAAAGCAAACAGAGUAUAUUAUCAGAGAAUGUCAUCAGAUUUUAUCAAUCAGAGUAUAUCAUGGCAGAUGUGUGAGUAAUACAUAUGGUAAAUUUGACAAGUUAAAUUUUAAAGAUCUAACCAAUAUGUUUACUCAGUUCCUGAUAUCAUUCCUAGCUCAUUCACCAGCCUAGUAAAAGUUGCUUCACUUAAUGGCUUGGUGAAAAUGUCUGCUAGCUGCUGUUCAGUAGGAACAAAGUGAAGUUCAAUGGUUCCUUCCUCCACAUGCUCCCUUAUAAAAUGAUAUCUUAUACUGAUGUGCUUUGUCAGAGAAUGUUGAACUGGAUUUCCUGUCAUAGCAAUAGCACUUUGGUUAUCACAAUAAAUAGGAAUUUUAGAGAAGGAUAACCCAUAGUCCAACAGUUGAUUCUUCAUCCAAAGAAUUUGAGCACAACAGCUGCCUGCAGCAAUAUACUCUGAUUCUGCUGUUGAUGUUGAGAUGGACUUCUGCUUCUUACUGUACCAAGAAACUAGUCUUCCACCCAGAAAUUGACAACUCCCACUUGUGCUUUUCCUGUCAAUUUUGCAACCUGCAAAAUCUGCAUCAGAGUAUCCAAUAAGACUAAAAUCUGAUUCUCUAGGAUACCAUAAUCCCAAUGAUGUGGUUCCCUUGAGAUAUCUGAAUAUCCUCUUUACUGCAAUCAGAUGAGGUUCUCUUGGAUCUGCCUGAAAUCUUGCACAUAGACAUGUGGCAUACAUAAUGUCUGGUCUACUUGCAGUCAGAUAAAGCAAUGAUCCAAUCAUUCCUCUAUAGUUUGUGAUAUCCACUGAUGCACCAGUAUCUUUGUCUAGUUUUGUUGCUGUUGCCAUAGGAGUAGUUGCAGCAGAACUGUCUUGCAUACCAAAUUUCUUUAAAAGAUUUCUGGUAUACUUGGCUUGAUUUAUAAAAAUCCCAUCUUCAGUCUGUUCAACUUGUAAACCCAGAAAAUAACUGAGUUCCCCCAUCAUGCUCAUUUGGUACCUAGACUGCAUGAGCUUGGCAAAUCUUUGACAGAGUUUAGCAUUAGUGGAGCCAAAAAUAAUGUCAUCAACAUAGAUUUGAACUAAAAGCAGAUCAUUACCAUGAUUCAAAUAAAACAGAGUUUUAUCUAUGGUACCUCUAGUAAAUCCACUUUCAAGAAGAAAUUGAGCUAGAGUUUCAUACCAUGCCCUUGGAGCCUGCUUUAGUCCAUAAAGUGCUUUGUCCAACCUGUAGACAUAGUCUGGAUGUUUUGGAUCCACAAAACCUGGAGGUUGUUCAACAUAUACCUCUUCAUCCAGUUUCCCAUUUAGAAAAGCACUUUUGACAUCCAUCUGAAAUACUUUGAAUUUCUUGUGUGCAGCAUAGGCCAGAAAGAUUCUAAUUGCCUCCAAUCUUGCAACUGGAGCAAAUGUCUCAUCAUAAUCAAUACCUUCCUGUUGUGAAUACCCUUUUGCCACAAGUCUUGCUUUAUUCCUUGUAAUGACACCUUCACUAUCAGUUUUGUUUCUGAAAACCCAUUUUGCACCAACUAUUGAUCUGUCUUUAGGUCUUGGUACUAGGGUCCAGACUUUAUUUCUCUCAAAUUCAUUUAACUCUUCUUGCAUUGCUUGAAUCCAAUCAGGAUCUUGAAGAGCUUCCUCCACCUUUUUGGGUUCUGUUUGUGACAGAAAGCAAUGAUGUAAACAUUCAUUUGCUGUAGCUGUCCUUGUUUGCACACCUGCUUCUGGAUUGCCAAUUAUUAAAUCAGGUGUGUGAGAUUUUGUCCACUUCCUAGCAUGUGGAAGUUGACCAUUUUCAUCAUUGGAUCCUCCCCCUUGAUCCAUGCUCUCCUGAUUCUGUUGAUUAUUCUCUGUAGCUCCCCUAAGUUUGUGCUAUCAGAGUUUGAAUCAGUAUUCUCUGAUGAGUUUGAGUCAGCAUUCUCUGAGGAAUCUUGGGUAGAGUCUGAAACAUUCUGAUGCUCCCCCUCAGCAAGUGCUUCAUCAUCAUGAACUUGUAAAUUUUCAUCAGAGUUUGCUGUAUUUUGUUCACAGUCAGAGUUUGACUGUUCAUCAGAGUUUGUCGAAUCAGAGAAUAUUUCUUCAUUUUCAAAAUGCAGUUUUUCAUGAUCAUCCAUAUCUGUUAAGCCCAUAAUUUUCUUGUCAUCAAAUCACACAUGUAUGGAUUCCAUGAUCACCUUGGUUCUUAGAUUGUAGACUCUGAAGGCCUUUGUUGUCAGAGGAUAACCUACAAAAAUGCCUUCAUCAGCUUUUAAAUCAAACUUGGUAAGCUGUUCUGGAUGAGUCUUCAAUACAAAGCAUUUGCACCCAAAUAUGUGAAAGUACUUCAGAUUUGGCUUCUUUUUCUUCACCAUCUCAUAUGGGGUCUUGCCAUGCUUAUUGAUCAAGGUUGCAUUUUGAGUGAACAUGCUGUUNNNNNNNNNNNNNNNNNNNNNNNNNNNNNNNNNNNNNNNNNNNNNNNNNNNNNNNNNNNNNNNNNNNNNNNNNNNNNNNNNNNNNNNNNNNNNNNNNNNNNNNNNNNNNNNNNNNNNNNNNNNNNNNNNNNNNNNNNNNNNNNNNNNNNNNNNNNNNNNNNNNNNNNNNNNNNNNNNNNNNNNNNNNNNNNNNNNNNNNNNNNNNNNNNNNNNNNNNNNNNNNNNNNNNNNNNNNNNNNNNNNNNNNNNNNNNNNNNNNNNNNNNNNNNNNNNNNNNNNNNNNNNNNNNNNNNNNNNNNNNNNNNNNNNNNNNNNNNNNNNNNNNNNNNNNNNNNNNNNNNNNNNNNNNNNNNNNNNNNNNNNNNNNNNNNNNNNNNNNNNNNNNNNNNNNNNNNNNNNNNNNNNNNNNNNNNNNNNNNNNNNNNNNNNNNNNNNNNNNNNNNNNNNNNNNNNNNNNNNNNNNNNNNNNNNNNNNNNNNNNNNNNNNNNNNNNNNNNNNNNNNNNNNNNNNNNNNNNNNNNNNNNNNNNNNNNNNNNNNNNNNNNNNNNNNNNNNNNNNNNNNNNNNNNNNNNNNNNNNNNNNNNNNNNNNNNNNNNNNNNNNNNNNNNNNNNNNNNNNNNNNNNNNNNNNNNNNNNNNNNNNNNNNNNNNNNNNNNNNNNNNNNNNNNNNNNNNNNNNNNNNNNNNNNNNNNNNNNNNNNNNNNNNNNNNNNNNNNNNNNNNNNNNNNNNNNNNNNNNNNNNNNNNNNNNNNNNNNNNNNNNNNNNNNNNNNNNNNNNNNNNNNNNNNNNNNNNNNNNNNNNNNNNNNNNNNNNNNNNNNNNNNNNNNNNNNNNNNNNNNNNNNNNNNNNNNNNNNNNNNNNNNNNNNNNNNNNNNNNNNNNNNNNNNNNNNNNNNNNNNNNNNNNNNNNNNNNNNNNNNNNNNNNNNNNNNNNNNNNNNNNNNNNNNNNNNNNNNNNNNNNNNNNNNNNNNNNNNNNNNNNNNNNNNNNNNNNNNNNNNNNNNNNNNNNNNNNNNNNNNNNNNNNNNNNNNNNNNNNNNNNNNNNNNNNNNNNNNNNNNNNNNNNNNNNNNNNNNNNNNNNNNNNNNNNNNNNNNNNNNNNNNNNNNNNNNNNNNNNNNNNNNNNNNNNNNNNNNNNNNNNNNNNNNNNNNNNNNNNNNNNNNNNNNNNNNNNNNNNNNNNNNNNNNNNNNNNNNNNNNNNNNNNNNNNNNNNNNNNNNNNNNNNNNNNNNNNNNNNNNNNNNNNNNNNNNNNNNNNNNNNNNNNNNNNNNNNNNNNNNNNNNNNNNNNNNNNNNNNNNNNNNNNNNNNNNNNNNNNNNNNNNNNNNNNNNNNNNNNNNNNNNNNNNNNNNNNNNNNNNNNNNNNNNNNNNNNNNNNNNNNNNNNNNNNNNNNNNNNNNNNNNNNNNNNNNNNNNNNNNNNNNNNNNNNNNNNNNNNNNNNNUUUCUAGAAAAUCAUUCCUUUCUUUACACUCAGAGUUUCAGAUUUUAAUCUUUCAUUCUCAAAAGUCUGAUCUCUAAAACUGAUAUGUAAAGUUUUAAGAAACAAUCUUAACUCAGUUAUAUCUUCAGUAUCAAAGGCAAGAGUAGAGUGAGGUACCUUAGCAGGAGAUUCAGUGUUUGCCAUUAGAGCAUAAUUGACUUCUUCUUCUGAAUCAGAUGUAUCUGUCCAGUUUCCUUUCUUGGUGAUAAAGGCUUUUUCUUUUUCUUUCUUGGCUUUCUUGCAUUCAGAUGCAAAGUGACCCUUUUCACCACAGUUGAAACAGGUAUACUUGUCAGCUUUUCCAGCUUUCCCUUCCUUGCCCUCAUUCUUCUUGAAGUUCUUCUUAUCAUAAACUCUGUCAGAGUUUCUGUCUUUUCUUGAAAAACUUUUGCCUUUGUUGAACUUUUUGUAGGCCAACUUCUUGAAGCUUUUCACCAUCAAUGCUGCUAACUGCAUCAUCUCAUCAUCACUUUCUUCAGAGUCUGAGGGAACAUCAGAGUUUGAGUCAUCAGAGUUUGAUGAUUCAAUGUCAGACUUUGUGACAUGAGCUUUUCCUUUGCUCUUAGCAGCUUCCUCUUGAACUUUCAGAGCAACAGACUUUUGAUUUUCCUCCAUGACGUUUGCUCCUUUGCUCCAUUUCAAGUUCAUGAGUCUUCAGUCUUCCAUAAACAUCAUCAAGAGACAUUUCUCCAAGAUCAAGAUUGUCUCUUAUUGUGGUGACUUUCAAAUCCCAUUUUUCAGGAAGAGCCAGAAGGAAUUUGAGGUUUGAGUCUUCAAGAUCAUAUUCCUUGUUCACCAGAGAUAAGUCAUUCAAGAGUUUGACAAAUCUGUCAUACAGAUCUGUCAAGGACUCACCAGAUUUUGAGUGAAAGUNNNNNNNNNNNNNNNNNNNNNNNNNNNNNNNNNNNNNNNNNNNNNNNNNNNNNNNNNNNNNNNNNNNNNNNNNNNNNNNNNNNNNNNNNNNNNNNNNNNNNNNNNNNNNNNNNNNNNNNNNNNNNNNNNNNNNNNNNNNNNNNNNNNNNNNNNNNNNNNNNNNNNNNNNNNNNNNNNNNNNNNNNNNNNNNNNNNNNNNNNNNNNNNNNNNNNNNNNNNNNNNNNNNNNNNNNNNNNNNNNNNNNNNNNNNNNNNNNNNNNNNNNNNNNNNNNNNNNNNNNNNNNNNNNNNNNNNNNNNNNNNNNNNNNNNNNNNNNNNNNNNNNNNNNNNNNNNNNNNNNNNNNNNNNNNNNNNNNNNNNNNNNNNNNNNNNNNNNNNNNNNNNNNNNNNNNNNNNNNNNNNNNNNNNNNNNNNNNNNNNNNNNNNNNNNNNNNNNNNNNNNNNNNNNNNNNNNNNNNNNNNNNNNNNNNNNNNNNNNNNNNNNNNNNNNNNNNNNNNNNNNNNNNNNNNNNNNNNNNNNNNNNNNNNNNNNNNNNNNNNNNNNNNNNNNNNNNNNNNNNGCCUUAAGGACUGGAACUCUAAAAGAUGAAGCUUGUGAUUUUUCAGACAUGAUUGUGAUUAAGAUCUCACUGUAGUUAUCUUAACAGAGCUGGCUCUGAUACCACUUGUUAGGUCCUAUAAACUCACUAUAUAAGUUGAUAUAGUGAUCACAAUCUGUAACACAGUAUGACAAUAUAAGAGAUUGAAAGCAGUAAACUCUUAUAUUCACAAAGCUUUUUAUGGUUACAAAAACUCUCUCAGUGAUUUAUAUUGUAUCACCAAGAGCUGCUAGGGUUCUUAACAAUGUACUCGAUAACUCAACUCAUAUAGAGUAACCCUAAUCUGUGUUUAUAUAGACACAGUUACAAAAUCAAUCUCUGAUUUGAUAUCCUAUAAAUCAGCUAAUAAAUCUAUCAAUCAAAGAUUGCUCCAGUUUUCUGUUUAGUUUCCAUAGUCAGCAAAUCACUCCUCAGCUUCUAUCCUUCCUUGAAGUAUAUCCGCUUCUGAGCUCUUUCCACGUGUAAACUCUGUCGAGUCUUGACUAUGUAAACUCUGAUCAGACUUUAUCAAACUCUGUCAGACUUUACUAAACUCUGAUCAGCUUCCAGUUUAAACUCUGAUGAUUCCUGUUCUAAAACAAACCUUAAGAACAUUAGUAAUCAUCAAUUAUAUCUAACAAAUAAAAUGUAGUUAAAUUAUAUACACACACACCACAAGUAAGAGAAUUCGAUUAGUAAUAUAAAAUAUUGAUUAGCAUAAAUAUAUAACAAACCACCAAAUGUAGGGGUAUAUGGUAAUCUCAAGAUUUAGGAACCAUAUGAUGUAUGUUGUCAUUACUUUUAUUCCUAGCCCCCAGCUUAUGGUCAAAUAUGUAUGGAGAUGUGAAGUAGUAGGGAAACAAAUACAAUACCAAUAGUUCAACAUAUGGGGACGUAGGCAGAUGCUUAGUAAGAUAAGCCUAAGAACAUAAUAAAACACAACUUCAUUCAAUAAAAUUAAAAUUUUUUGAAGAUUUUAAAGUGGAUUACACAAAUAUAUACAAUAUAUACAUAUUUUCAAGAGUUAGUUAAUCACAUAUAUACAUGAAAAUCUACUUUGAUUGAUGUAUCCUUUAAACCCCAUGUGCCGGGCUUCGAUCCCGCGUCUCCUUGUUGUUGGAGUAACAAAUUCAACCAUACAACCAACUGAACUAGGGAGCACCGGUGUUUAUUAUCUUCGAAUAUAUGUAUAUACAUAUAAAUCUAAGUCUGUUAAAUAUUAUUACCAAGAUAGAUUAAGGUGCGCGCAAAAAAUUAUAAUUUCUUUUUCUAUAUAUGUGAUAGUAAUUAAUAGUAGCUAACAAUAUUGCUUAUAUGAGUUACUAAAAACUUUCUUCAAUAUUUAUGAGCUAUUUCUACACUAUCAUUAUAAUUUUAACAUAUUUACUUAAAUCCCAAUAUGCGGGUCACUAUCAAGCAUUGGCCUAAGCAUGUAUAAUAAGAAGGGUUGUUAAACAAAUUUUAAUUAAAAUAAAUGUAUUUGAGGAUUCUACGCUUCAAGCGUGUACAAGGAAUACACUUCACCCAAUACGUGAAGCGUCACCUAGUUUUAAAAUCCCAAGUACUAGAGCAAUAAUAUCAUGAAAAUGACAAUGCUCAAUGAAUAAGCAUCACUGAAUACGUAAAACGUCACCGAGUUUUAAAAUCCCAUGUACUAGAGAAACAAUAUCAUGAAAAUGACCAUGCUCAACAGAGAAGCAUCACUGACCACAUUUAGUGUCAUCUAGUACAUGGAUUCUAGUACAAUAAUUUAGGCUAACUCCUAAUGAAAAAGGCAUCCCCAGCUAAAGUGUCAAAUUCAUGUAUAAGAUAAGAGUAAAAUAUAGAGCGGACGAAUAUAAUCAAUUGAUCUAGGGAGGCUAUGGUUACAAAUUAAUACUAACAAAGAAAGAGUAAUAUAUGGUGCUCUGUUUGUUAUCCGGCCAAGCACGACAUCCCUUUAUAACAAUAUUUGCUCCGUGAUAGUUGAUCGAUCGUAUCAUGGGGGUACCGGGAUGGAAAUAUGACUAGAUUAUCUGGUGGAGGAAUAUAAAUUUAGAUUAUAGUUUUAUAUUCUUCUUUUUAAUGAACUACAGGAAAAAAGUUAUUUGGUUGUUUUGAUUGAUGGAAUAUGUUACUGUUAGUUUCGAUAUUUAAGAUCGGUACAGAGCUAGAACUCACUCAUGCCGAGUAUUAAUUAUUCUUUCUUAUCACAAAUAUUAGUUCCUAUAUACUUGCUAGGCAUUUAGUUGCUCCUUCUUGCCAUUUUUUUUUUUGAAAUCUUUUUUAAAAAAUUUAGUGUGAGAAGGAUGAGCACUUUAGCUAGUAAAAAGAAAACCAAGAGCACACAGGUCACGCCUAACAUCAUGAUGAGUAGCUUUGUGAUUCAAUGUAUAAGCUCGAGGAUCCAUAUCAGUGGCUCUGCAAGCAUCGUAAGAGGAGGAGAAACUUUUAACCUAUAUAACAAUUUUAGUUAUAAUAAAAAAACUUUAUGGUUGUGAGGCAUUCCAUCAAACAACACCCGAGCUAACAGCAAGUCAAGAUCACCCGCAUAAAACUCAAUAAGCGCAGUACCAACAAAUUAAAAGGAUCAUCACAAAACCCCAAAACUACAACUUAGGCAUGCACCAAGAACCCAAUUUUCCUACAAUCUUGCAUUGAACACGCCUUGAUCAGAGGCAUAAAAGUAUAAUUAUUCCCUAAAAACCUACAAUUACAAUUACAAUGUGAUUAGAGCAAAAAAAAUAGUGUGAAAUUACAAUUUUACCCCUGCCUCUGUUAUAGUUAACAGUCAAUUAAAUGGAAUGUGGUCAAAGGGGUGUAAAUCGAAACGCUUUUCAAACUUUAGGGUACAUACUGCCCCAAAAAUUGUUUGAGACCAAAUUGAAAAAGCGCCUAAACUUAAAGGGGGCAAAGUGUAAUCACUCUUUAAUAUACUACCCAACAACAUGUAUACUUUAACAUUACAAGUUUUGAGAAAUUAUAUAAAAUAUAAUGUGAUAUGGGUCUGAAAUUGGCCCUAAAAUUAUUGGGUUAUUUUGAGCCCGGGUGCGAUGAAAGGCCUGAGUGUUAGGCCCGGGUUCUGGGUUUAUCACCCAAAAUUCGUAGCUAGCAGAUUGAGGUUAUAAAAAGCCCGUUGGACAUCCACGUUUGGGAAACGUGGGCUGCCCAAUCUCAAGGCACGAGCCCCCAGCCCGGUCAGGGCCCAGAAUUCGAAUCCUAGUCCUACUAGGAGUCUGACUGACGAGUCCAGGACUUCGAGUACAAGAACUCUGAAUUUCAGAGAUAACUAUCUAGAGUCCUAGAUAACCUCUAGCAGCUUAAGAUAAGGAUCAGGGAUCAAUCCUAUCCUAUCUCUGACUCAAACACCUACUUCUACUAGGUCUCUAACACCAGGGAUCCUAAUUCUAAUCAGUCUCUAACCCUGAUACAUCUAUAUAAAGGGCUCUACCCCUCCAAACUAGAACUACGAUUUUGACUUGAUUCUUCACCUAGCUAAAGAUACGUAGGCAUCUCGACCCCGAGAACAGUAAAAAAACACGAAGCUCACCCCUCAGGUUUUGAUCCAUAAUAUUUGGCGCCGUCUGUGGAAAGAAGACGACAACCAUGGUAUCCACCAGAUUACGCUCAGAAAUUCAUGCUCCUUCAAUCGGAGACAACACCGCAACCCAGGAUCCACCCUUUUCUCAGGUCACCACUGGAACCUCAAAUCUCGUCACCACCACAACACCAGUCAUGUUGACCCUAGCUGGCAGUGGCACAACCACCGCUGCUCAAACCUUAUUUCCAUUGAUUUUGGGCACGGUGGCCCCUAUGACUAGUGUUGUGGCAACAACCACUGAUUUUGGGACUCAUUACUCAACAGUCGUGACGACCACAAGAGGACCAACAAAUGAGUAUGUAGUUUAUACAGACGACUCCUCUGAAGAUUCAGAGAGGGACUAUGAUAUUCCCCCACGAAGAAGGAGAGACGGAAACCAGAGCCGAGGCUCCCAACACAACACUAGGCAGAUUGCCUUUGACCAUCUCAAAUGGAAUUUUCCCAUGCUUAUUUAUCAGAGUUGCAUUCUGUGUGAUGCAAGCAGUUUGCACAGCUUCAGCCCAGAAGUAAGUUGGCAAUUUUGCACACAACACUAGGCAGAACAACCCCGAGUCCCGUCGAACUACGGACCAGGAGUAUGAAGCCAGGAUUCGAGCUUUUGAAUAGGAGAUAGUUCGGUUGAGAAGAGACAUGGCGGCACAGUAGUCCAGGCAGCAACCGCUCGAACCUCGACAAAGGACUGAGAACCCUCAAAACUCAGGUAUGAAUAGAAUUCACUUGUUGGCUGCAGGUGAUCCAGAUAACCCGCUCCCCCCAUUCACCGAGGAGAUCAUGGCAGCAAGGAUUUCUCGAAAGUUCAAAUUGCCCACUAUUAAGGCCUAUGAUGUAACGGGUGACCCCGCGAAUCAUGUACGAACCUUCAUGAAUGCAUUGCUGUUGGAAUUUGUCACGGAGGCUAUCAAGUGUCGACCCUUUUCCCAAACCAUGAGCGGGAUGGCACAACACUGGUAUAGCCGACUACCCCCUAACUCUAUAUCCUCAUUUGGAGAUUUGAGUCGAGCUUUCAUACGCUAGUUUAUUGGGAACAAAACCCACACUAAGAGUUCAGCUUAGAGCACCAAUUCGACCGUGAACCCAUCUGGGCUUUCGAGCACCAACCCUGUCCCACUAUUUUUUAUUUUUGAAGCUCCGUCAAAAAACAUUAACCAAUACUCUUUAGGUUUCUCCUCUUCUUUAGGUUCCUCUACCUUACUCUCCUGCCCCCGACUUCCUGGUUGUCAAUGGUGCAUUCAACGAGGAAGUCAGCUAGAGCUUGAGCCUUGAUUGCCACCCGUGGUUUGUAUCGAAUUUCGAAUUCCCCAAGCUCUACUGCCCAUUGAUUAAUCUCCCACUAGCCUUCGGGCUAUGCAUUAUGUUCUAAAGGGGUUGGUCUGUCAAGACUUCAAUUUUAUGAGCUUGGAAGUAAGGUCUCAGGUUUCUCGAAGCUGUGAUAAUGGCUAAGGCAAACUUCUCAAUCACAGAAUAGUUGAGCUCUACUCCAUGCAAAAUCUUACUAACAUAGUAGACGGGUUUCUGGAUUUUUCGAUCCUCACGUACCAAGACCGCACUCAGUGCUUUCUCAGAGAUAGCCAAAUAGACAUAUAACGUUUCUCCAUCUACGGGCUUUGACAAGAGUGGUGGCUCUGUCAUGUACUUCUUCAACUGCUCAAAGGCCUCCUGGAUCUCACUUGUCUAUUCAAAAUCCUUAACUUUCUUCAAAGCCUUAAAGAUGGGCAAGCACUUAUCCCCGGACUUCGAGAUGAAACGUCCUAGUGCUGCGAUUCUUCCUGUUAACGACUUCGAGAUGAAACGUCCUAGUGCUGCGAUUCUUCCUGUUAACUUUUGAACAUCCUUUAUAGACUUAGGAGGCUCCAUAUCAAGGAUAGUCUUUAUCUUAUCGGGGUUGGCCUCAAUCCCACAUUUUGAGACCAUCAGAUCUAAAAAUUUUCCAGACCCAACUCCAAAGGAACACUUGACUGGAUUCAACAUCAUCUUAUGUGUCCUCAGGACUUCAAAAGCCUCUCUCAGGUGCUCAAGGUGAUCAUCUUUGUUCAAGCUCUUCACUAGCAUAUCAUCAACAUAGACCUCGAUGAUUUUUCCAAUCAGAUGUUUAAACAUCUUAUUUUUAGGCGUUGCUACGUGGCUCCUGCAUUCUUUAAACAAAACGCCAUAACCAAAUAACAAAAGACACCAAAAUCAGUGAUGAAUGACACCUUAGGAAUUCGUCCUUAUUCAUUCGGAUCUGGUUGUAUCCACUAAAGCCAUCCAUAAAGUUUAACAUCUCAUGCCCAGCUGUAGCAUCGAUCAGAGUAUCUAUUCUUGGGAGAGGAAAACAGUCCUUAAGACAAGCAUCAAUCAGAUCUGCAAAGUCUACACACAUCCUCCACUUUCCAUUAGCUUUCUUGACCAUGACUGGGUUGUCUAGCCAUUCUGGAAAUUGAAUUUCCUCUAUAAAACCUGCUUCCAAAAGCUUAUCGACCUCCUGUUUUAUGGCUUCUUGCCUCUCAGGGGCAAAAUUUCUCUUCUUUUGUUUUACGGGUUUUCUAUCUGGGUUCACAUUUAGCGUAUGUGUCAUAAAGAGGAGAUCGAUCCCUGGCAUAUCAGCAGCGGUCCAAGCAAACACAUCCCGGUUGUUCCUCAAGAAUUUCACAAAUUCGGAUUUUAUAUCCUUGGGAAGCGACACCCCUACAUAGGUCGCCUUCUCGGGCUCAUCAGGAUAUAGGGAGAUGGGAACCAAGUCCUCAGCAGGUUUCCCUCUUCUUUCCUCUUCCUCUCGGACAUCCAAGUCCUCAAUUGGGUGAACCUGCCCCCCCCCCCAGUCCCUCCGGAUUUCAGAGCCCCCACAUAAUAACUUCUAGCCAUUUUUUGAUCUCCUAUUUCUUCUCCCACUCCGUUCUUGGUAGGGAAUUUGAUCUUCAAGUGGUAGGUGGAUGGGAUUGCUUUAAAAACAUGUAUCCCUGUCCUUCCAAGGAUAGCAUUGUAGGUUGAUGAAGCCUUAACGAUUAAAAAAAUUCAACAUACAUGUGGCCUGUCUAGGCUCGGUGCCUAUUGUCAUGGGUAGUUGGAUCAUACCUUCAAUCUUUAUCUCCACGUUAUUAAAGCCGUAUAUAGGCAUAUCUGAAGGUGUCAAUUGUGAAUCAGAAUAUCCCAUCUUUUCAUAUGCAUCAUGAAAUAAGAUGUCUACCGAGGCUCCACUGUCAAUGAGUACCCUUUUUACAGACGAGUUUCCAAUCACCGGGGUGAUUACCAAAGGAUCAUCAUGGGGAAAUUUCACUCUGUCAAGAUCUAAAUUGUAGAAUGCUUGAGCAAACUUAACUUUUACCCUCUUCAGGGGCUCUCCAACAAUGCACAUCACUUCACGAGCAUAAGCUUUUCGUGAGUUACUAGAUAGGCCUGCUGCGGUCGGUCCUCUAUAGAUUACAUUGAUCACAGGCCCUCUAGGCUGGUUUCUCUUAUCCUUAUCAUCGUUGUCUUUUCCACGAUUAUCAUUGUCACGGGGAUUCCUAUCUGCAUCCCUAGUAUACCUGGACAACUUGCCUUUCCGGAUCAAGAACUCAAUCUCAUCCUUCAACUACCGACAAUCAUCGGUCUUAUGUCCCGUAUCCUUAUGAAACCUGCAGUACAAGUCUUUGUUUCUCUUUUCGGGGUCAGUCCUAAUAGGCUUCGGCAAUCGAACACUUCCCUCUUUCUCAAUUUCCAUCAGGAUCUGAUUCCUAGGGGCAUUCAGCCUUGCAUACUCAGUGAACCUCGACCCUGCUCUCUUUUUGGUGGGGGACUUAUCACCAUCCCCUGUCUUUGAAUACUUAUUUUCCCCUGUCUUUAGGCUUUCCUCAUCCUUCCUAUACUUCCCGGCCCACUCCUGGAGCUCAUUCAUGUUGUCAGGGGACCUCUUGGCUAGUGAUCGGCGGAAAUUAUCAUCCGUGGUUCCUUGAGCGCCUCCUUAGUGAACCUAUUCAUAUAGUCUCUAAGGGAUUCGUUCUUGCCUUGGUGAAGGUUCAUCAACGAGGCUGAACUCUUAGCGUGGGUCUUACUCCCAAUAAACUGGCCUAUGAAAGCUCGACUCAAAUCUCCAAACGAGGAUAUAGAGUUAGGGGGUAGUCGACUAGACCAGUGCUGUGCCAUCCCACUCAAGGUUUGGGGAAAAGCUCGACACUUGAUGGCCUCCGUGACUGGUUGCAACAGCAAUGCAUUCAUGAAGGUUCGUACAUGAUUCAUGGGGUCACCCGUUCCAUCAUACGCCUUAAUAGUGGGCAAUUUGAACUUCUGAGAAAUCCUUGCUGCUAUGAUCUCCUCGGUGAAUGGGGGGAUCGGAUUAUAUGGAUCAUCUGCAGCCAACAAGUGAAUUCUAUUCAUACCUAAGUUCUAAGGGUUCUCAAUCCUUUGUCGAGGUUCGGGCGGUGGCCUGGUGUGCCGCCAUGUCACUUUUCAACUGAACUAUCUCCUGUUCAAAAGCUCGAAUCCUGGCUUCGUACUCCUGGUCCGUGGGUCGACGGGACUCAGGGUUAUUAUGCCUAGUGUACUGCUGGCAGCCCCGGCUCUGGUAUCCACCGCUCCAUCUUCGUGGGGGAAUAUCAUAGUCCCUCUCUGAAUCUUCAGAGGAGUCGUCCGUAUAAACUACAUACUCAUCUGUUGGUCCUCUUGUGGUCGUCACGACUGUUGAGUAAUGAGUCCCAAAAUCAGUGGUUGUGGCCACAACACUAGUCCUAGGGGGCACCGUGCCAAACAUCAUUGGAAUCGAGGUUUGAGCAGUGGUGGUUGUGCCACUUCUAGCAAGGGUCAACGUGAUUGGUGGUGUGGUGGUGACGGGAUUCAAGGUUCCAGCGGUGACCUGAGAUAAGGGUGGAUCCUGGGUUGCGGUGUUGUCUCCGGUUGAAGGAGCAUGAAUUUCUGAGCGUAAUCUGGUGGAUACCAUGGUUGUUGUCUUCUUCCUACGGACGGCGCCAAAUGUUAUGGAUCAAAAAUCAAGGGGUGAGCUUCGUGCUUUUUGACUGAUUGUUGUCUCCGGUUGAAGGAGCAUGAAUUUCUGAGCGUAAUCUGGUGGAUACCAUGGUUGUUGUCUUCUUCCUACGGACGGCGCCAAAUGUUAUGGAUCAAAAAUCGAGGGGUGAGCUUCGUGCUUUUUGACUGAUCUCGUGAGUCGGAACUCAGACGGGUCCUCACGAGGUGCCUACGUAUCUUCAGCUGGGUGAAGAAUCAAGUCAAAAAACAUAGUUCUAGUUUGGAGGGGUAGAGCCCUUUAUAUAGAUGUCUCAGGGUUAGAAACUGAUUAGAAGUAGGAUCCCUGGUGUUAGAGUCCUAGUAGAAGUACGUGUUUGAGUCAGAGAUAGGAUAAGACUGAUCCCUGAUCCUUAUCUUGAGCUGCUGGAGGUUAUCUAGGACUCUAGAUAGUUAUCUCCGAAAUUCAGAGUUCUUGUAGGACUUUUGGAGUCCUUGACUCAUCAUUCAGAUUCCUAGUGGGACUAGGAUUCGAGUUUUGGGCCCUGGCCAAGCUGGGGACUCGUACCUUGGGUGAUAAACCUAGAACCCGGGCCUUAUACUCAGGCCUUUCAUCAAACCCGGGCUCAAAAUAACCAAAUAAUUUUUAGGGCCAAUUUCAGACCCAUAUCAUAUAGUAUGCAUAAAAUAUGUAUCGCGUAACACGUAAUAUAUCUUGUUCUUGUUAAUAUGAUUUGAUAAUUUAAAUAAGAUUAAAUAAGUAUAUUAUAGAAUUAUAAGGAUUCGCAUAAAUUUAGUUAUAUAUAUAUUAUAUAUAUAUUGGCAAAUGAUCAAAUACAAACCAACUAUUAAAUACAAACUAAAAACCAGUUUUCCUACCACUAUUUAUAAGCACAGGUAUCACUAAUUUAUAUUGCACUAAUCACUGUUUUCUAGAGGUAUAUUAACAGCAACUUUUAUUAUUUAAAAUUGAGAAAAUCUACUUACCUAAACUAUUGAUGAUUGAUUAUGGAUGAUCAAUUUCAAUCUUCAGAAAGAUUCUUGACGGUAAAAAGUCGUAGGAGAAGGUGUAUGAUUGUGGUAAUUAGUCACUAGUUUUGGUAAGUUACGACGACAAGUGUUUGUGACUAUUGGUGAUGGUAGGCGAUGGUGGAAAGUCAUUAUAAAAACGGAUGACAAUGGUGGUAAAAAUUCUAUUAUUAUAGUUCGGGUGAAGAUGAUGCUCUUAUACGUUGCAUUUAUAUGUAUGCAUAUAUUUGUAUUUGACAGAUAUGCUAUAUAGAAAAUAGUGAUGUGUGAUGUACAAAACAGUGAUAAUUGCAUUUAAUAAUAGUGAUUAAAAAUUGGGUUUGAUUAUACAAAUAUAUACAAUAUAUACAUAUUUCAAAGAGUUAACUAGUCACAUAUAUACAUGGAAAUCUACUUCACUUAAUAUGUAUCGGAACCCGUACCGGGCUUCGAUCCCGCGUCUCCUCGUUGUUGGAGUAUAAAUACAACCAUACAACCAGCUGAACUAGGGAGCACCGGUGUUUAUUAUCUUUAAAAUAUUCAUAUAAAUCAUAUCUAUCAAAUAUUAUUAUCAAUAUUAAGGUAUCCGUAAGAAAUCAUAAUUUCUAGUUCUAUAUGGGUGAUAGACAUUAAUAGUAGCUAAUAAUAGUGCUUGUAUGAGUUAUUAAAAAACUUCCUUCUAUAUGAAGUAUUGGCCAAGCAUGUAUAAUAAGAAGCUUUGUUAUUUUUUCUUUUAACCGGAAGAAAUGUAUUUGAGAAUUGUAAGGUGCAAACAUAUACAAGGAAGAUACACUUCACCCAAUAGGUGAAACGUCAUUCAGUUUUAAAAUCCUAAGUACUAGAGCAACAAUAUCAUCAAAAUGACCAUGCUCAAUGAGAAGCAUCACCCACUACAUUAAGUAUGAUCUAGUACAUGAAUUAUAGUAUAAUAAUUUAGACCAACUCCUAAUUAAAAUGACAACCCUAAUUAAAGUGUCCUAGCCAAAUUCAUGAAUAAGAUAAGACUAAAAGAUAUGAAAGCCUCGAGGAAUUUUAUGAUGUAUAGGAAGGACCUAAAGGUAUGCAAAUGAUUAAUAAAUACUGUCAAGGGUGUUUCGGUGUUGACUUAUCCCGCCCAAUAAUAAAUAAAAUAGGCUAGUCUUCUUUAACUUGCUUAAAAGACUUGAUUGAUGUUGUUUCUUCCUUUGUAAAGUAUGUGGAUAAUUUACCGUUCAAAGCGUUCCAUCAAAUUUUUUUUAUUACAGUUAGCUUCUUUUGUUCAAAGAGCCACAUUAUUUGACGUUAAAUGACAUAAUGGUCGUGUCCCUAAAUAUAUUUUAAAUUUUAUGAAUAUCCACUGACUCAUUUAUUGGGGAGAACUUAUUGAAUAUAAGUCUAGUUUCAAAAUUCUCAAUUUGUUUUUCGAUCAGUGUUAUAAUGAUUCAGAUGACAAUAUAAUUGAAAAUGGUCAAUUUGGGAAGGUCUAUCCAUGGUAGUGUGUAAAGAAAUAUCCGUAGUAGGAUUGUAAUAUAUUCAGAUAUUGUUAAUAUCAAACGUUGUGAUAAAGAGUGUGAAUGGGAUGGUCUUUCAAUGUGUGAACGGGAAACCCAUUGGUGAGUAUAAGUUUGUAUUAGUAUUAUUAUUAUUACUUGUUGCUGGUGUAAUAAGUAGUGGUUGGAUGGCGUGGGGACCUGAAUAUGUGAGAUACGAGUCUCAAGGGUGCCUCAGUAUUAGUUAUUUCCGAAAAAGGAUUCAUUUUAUCUUCAAAGUCUUUGGCAUCUACCACAUAAUAUAUCAUGUCUGAGUUAAUAUGAUUUGAUAAUUCCUACAAGAUUAAAUGUUAUAUAUAUAUAUAUAUAUAUCAUAAAUUAAAGAAUUCAAAUGACAAAUAUAGGGUUAUAUAAAUCUCAAAGAUUGAGGAGGAUAUGAUGUAUGCAGUCCUCGCCAUCAUUCGUAGAUCCUUACAUUUGCGUAAACAUGUAUUGGUAUGUGAAGUAGUACUCUACACAUAAAAAAAAUUAAAUACUAAUAGUUCAACAAAUGGGAAGGUUCGCAUAUGAUUAGUAGGAGAAGCUUGAAAACCUGAUAAAACACAACUUCUUUCAAUAAAAGUCAAGAAACGUGACCCAACAAUAAAAAUAAUUCAUAAAUUGAAAAUUAAGUCAAGAUGAAAAAUGGCACAUGAUUGUCUCUUACGAUGUUAAAAAAUGCCAUCAAUCAUGACCACAUAUAAAUAGUACAAAAAAGUCAUCAUGAAGGCCACAAUUAGCAUUGUCUCAAAAAGAUCGAUUAUUACAAGUAAAUUUCAAAUUUAAUAAUAUUUAAAAUUUAAAGAAUUAGUCGCAAUUUAAACUGAUAUUACAAAAUACAUAUUUAUUAUAAGUAAGACUAAUUAGGGAGAAACUAAAUAUAGUCAUUAAACAUAGCACAAAAUAAUAACACUAAAACUAAAACUAAUGCCUUUAAAUAGUCAAUCACAUUAAAUUAUCAUUUCAAUUUCUAUCAACAGACAAAAGAAACUGUUGGUCCUAGGAUGUAUUGCAUAAGGAGGAGGUUGAAUAUGCAAUACUGAUAUUGUCAAAUUUUAAUUCAACAACAAAUAUAAGAUUUAAAUUUAUGAGUAGAUUACGUUGUAAGCUUGAAGAACACAGUAGUUUAACUUCACAAAAUAAAUGUAUUAUUUAUUUCGUUGUUUUGCUACAACCUCAAGAAAGGUUUUUUGAGCUUCAGUUCUCUCAAGAAUUAUAAUGAUGUUUGCACUCCUAUGCUGUGUUGUGGUCUUUCUUGUGUCUUAGAACUAUUAAUGUUUUCCUAUAUGACUAUCGGAGUUUACACAUCACAGUCAUCACGGGUUCUGCAAGUCUACAAGUAGAUUAUUCUUUUGCCGCUACUUAUAGAUUGCAGCCCAUGUGACUUUCCUAAAAUGCUAAUCAAACAGAUAUUAAAUUUUAUGAAAAUCAACCUAGGAUACAAUCUUUUUUGAUCUUUACAAAUCCCAGUGGAUAGUGACUUGACACCUUUCAUGUGCAUAUCCACGACUUUGUGUAUUCUUGAGCUUCAAUUAUAGACUUUGCAGGUGUGCUACUAAAACAGCUUUAUGCAACAUCCCUGAGCUUGGAACGUCUUUAUCAGCCGCAACGUUGAUUUGAUGAAGAAUUAAAUCCAACCCCAUAUCUCCGAUGACAGUGACAUAGAGACACCAAUACUUGUUGUGAAAUAAUGAUUAGGAUGACAAUGACUUCCCGUGAAAGCUUACGUCAGGAUAUCCAAGUGCUGUAUUGCGUGCUCUGCGGAGUUUCAACCAAUGUUAUUGGUAGAUACAUAUUAUCUGUCUGUGACCUGCAACUGUCUGUCUUUUGUAGUACUGUUGUCAACCGUUUGACAAUAGCAUUCCGUUAUUCUUAUUGUCAUUCCAAUGUGCGUCUAGGGGCAUGAAGAAUUUAAUGAACUUUUUCCAACAACAUUCUAAUUACAUGACAGUUAUGAAAACACUACAGAGACAUACUCUUGCCGUGACAGUAUCUUCUACUUAUAAAAAUCAAAGUAAAUAUAAAUGUUAAGUUGACUUCUAUCUAUAUCACCCAUAAAUUCUAACAAAAACAAAUAUAACAGUGAAUAAAUUGAGAAGUAGAUGAUUUAUUUUUUUCAUAUUUCAAAUCGAUAUCUUCAAUCAUGAAUUUCAAGAGAGGAGAUGGACUAUAAAUAAAAAAACAAAUGAAGAUAUGAAUCAUAUAGAUUAAAACGUAUAAAAUAGAUCUAAACAAUAAAUCUGAACACAUAAAUAUAUACAUAAUUCAAAUUUCAGUCAUCACAAUAUAACAUAACACUACAUCAAUAUCAAAUUCCUGUAUACUCAAAACUAAAUCACAAAUAAUCAAUGUAUUUACAAUAUAUAUUGAAAGAUCUACUGAUGCACGUAUAAUAAAAAAUAAAUAACAAAUAGUUGAUGUAUUUACAGAACAUACUGAAUGACCAGAUGUAAGUAAAAAUAAAAUGAAAGAUAAAAAAUAAUAAAAAUAGAUAUGAUAUAGAAUAUUGCAACAAUAUAUACACAAGAUACGAAGAUUAUGGUAAAUAUAUGAAUAUUUUGAGUUCCGCAUCUCUCAUGUCAUUGUACGUCCAUCCAUCUUUUCCCUUAUAUUAUUGUUAUUAUUAUAACUAGUGUUGCGAAUAAGCUAGAUAUAAUAAUACCAUUAUUCAUAUGACAACUUGCUCAAAGAAAAUACUAAAAUGACAUGUGUAGUAGAGUAAUGAUGGUGAUGAAACUAAUUAUUAGCAAAUAUAUAGUAAAAGAAAACAUAAUUAUUGAAUACUUCUAUUAGUGGACUAAUAUUAAAACAUGUUUACUUGACUGAUUAAGGACACAUACAGUAACGACACAUACCGGUAAUGCUUUAGCCAUAGUUAUUAAUUAUCCUAUUCUUAAUUAUAUGACUUUGGAUUUAAUCGGUCUUAAGAAAUUGAAACUCAUAUCAAAUUCAUUAAAAUCAUGUUGAUAUCUCCUUAACUCAAAUGUAUAGUAUAAAUAAUAAGUUGAGCAACUGUAGUAAAAUCAGUUUGGAAUUUACAACAUUACUCCCUCCGUCUUUAAUACUUUUCCUGUUUGCAUUUAUCACAUUUGUCAACACACACUUUUAAUGGUUAAUAUCUUUAAUUUCAUAUUAAUAUUAAAUAUAAAAAAUUUCACGGUAUUAAAGUACUCAUAAAUACGAAUACAACAAGAUCACUCACGAUUAUAUCUAGGCUUAUAGAUUAGAUGUAAAUUAGUAAUUUGUCUCAUGUUAUAAAUAGAAUGAUCACAAUCUUUUUUGUCUUGUCAUCUCUAUAAAACAACAUGCAAAUAUUUUCACAAGCAUCAAUUUUGUUGUAUGAUAAUUUCAAUUCAUUUAAAAUUUUCUUCACCUCAUAGUAAGUUGAUGGUGGUGUGUGUUUUGGUGGGAAAAGAUCGCCAAUAUAUAAUCUCAAAUAACAAAUUAAAUGAUUUCUCACUACAAUGGUAUUCAUUUUUAAAGUGCAACAACCUUGUGGUGAAAGAUAGUUUUGUGUAGUUGGUGCUUCCCGGAUAUAUUGGUGUUUCACAUCUACUAACUUCUUUGUAAAAUGAGGAAGCAUUUGCAUUAGGUGGUUCUUCUACUCUAUUAGUACAAGCAUGGGUUUUACUAGUACUAAAAGGUUGAGCUCCAACAUCUCUUAGCAUCGCUUCCAUGUCUACCAGUUUUUCAACUUCUCCUUGAACAUGAUUUUUUUUCCAUUGUAAUGACUCCCCAUGAGAUGUCCAAAUUAUAUAACCCAUACAAAUUACAUUAGCUAUCAAAUGAUAUUUAACACUUUCAAUAGUCUCCCAUAUAACAUUUUUACAAUUAACAUAUGGACACUUCAUCAAACCUUCAACUACACCUUUAUUCUCAAUUGCAUAUUUUAUAAAUUGCUCAACAUCCAAAUUAUAUUCCGGAGCAAGUGUUAUUCGGUUAUCUUCUAAUCGACGAUGCAUCUAACUAUACGAUCAUUGGUCGACAUUUACAUAUAUAUACAAGCAUACACAAGCAACUCAAAACAAUAUACACACAUAUACACACACACAAACAUUUUAUACAUACAAGUUAACCUUCAACUUCAAUUUCAACUAAAAAUUAGAAAAAUAUACAUCUAAGUUUACCUUCAACUUCAAUUUCAACUUCACCUUCAAUUUUAAAAUUACACAUUUUAUACCUUAUAAAUUAGAAAAUAUAUUAAAAAAUGGAUUAGUUACCUUAAAAAUGUUUUCUCUUCCACAAAUGUUGGUGAGAGACCAAAUAUAUACUCCUUUUGUCCCAUUUUAACUCAUAUUUGACUUUUUAACACUUAUAUUGAGGUGUAAAAAAAUAAUAUCUACACUCAAUAAAGAUAUUCAAUUUUAUAUCAUAUAAAAGUUUAGAUUCUAAACUUUUAUUUGAUAUAAAUUUUAUAAAAACAAUUAUGUUUAGAUGUGAUUUUUUUAACACCUUAAAAUAAGUGUAAAAAAGUCAAAAGUAGUUAAAAUGAGACGGUGAGAGUAUAUAUAUAUAUAUAUAUAUAUAUNCCGAGUCGACCCCAAGGUCGGGCGUUGGGCUGGGCGCCGGGGUCGAGUGUGGGAAUUCGUAUGUUGGCUGUAUGGAUCCUAAAGAAGCUAAGCUGAUCAGUCUUGGGCUUAAGUGGGUAAGGAUGACUACAAUUAGUCUGAGGGCGCAGCAAGGGCGCCGAGUGGACGCAGGCGGACACUGGGUUAAAGGGCAGGCCGCACAAUACUUGGCUCGACUCCAAUCCCACUUAAGCCCAAGGCUGAUCAUCUUAGUUUCUUUAGGAUCCAUACAGCCAACAUACGAAUUCCCACACUCGACCCCGGCGCCCAGCCCAACGCCCGACCUUGGGCUCGACUCGGGGUGCCUUAGCGCCCACCCCUACUCGAGGUUCACACCGGGUCAAAGCCUAUUACAUGGGAGUGUAUGUAUAUAUAUAUAUAUAUAUAUAUAUAUAUAUAUAUAUAGAGAGAGAGAGAGAGAGAGAGAGAGAGAGUCUUGCUCCAAUACAAACCAAAUUAGCCUAAAAACUAAAAAUCAGUUUCUGGUCAGUUUUUUAUCACUAUUCUUAACUACAAAAAUCACUAAUUUGUACAUAACAUAUCACUAAUUUAUAUAUAGCAUAUCUCGCGAAUAUAAAUAUAUAUAUACACAUAUAUGCAACGUAUAUGACCAUCAUCUUCACCUGAACCGUAAUAAUGGACCUCUUACCAUUAUUACCAGACAUUUCUAUGACUUGCCACCAUUGUCUACCAUCACCAAUAGUCACAUACAUUUUUCAUUAUAACUUACCAAAACUAACGACUGCUUACCACAUACCAUCAUACAACUUCUCAUGCAGCUUCCUACCGCCAAGAACCUUCCUACGACUGAAAUUGAUCAUCUAUAAUCGAUUAUGAAUAGUUUAGGUAAGUAGAUUAUCUCAAUUUUGAUAAUGAAAAUCGCUGCUAUAUACUGUACAAAAACAGUGAUUAGUGCAGUAUAAAAUAGUGAUACCCGUAGUUAUAAAUAGUGGUAGGGAAACUGGUUUUUAGUUUGUAUUUAAGAGUUGGUUUGUAUUUGAUCACUUGUCUAUAGGGUCCUACUCCAAUACAAACUAAUAAAAUAUAAACUAAAUACAAACCAAUUCGAUUAAGUUGAAUAACAAGGAUUUUGGGACUGGGGAUGGACACCAAGAUGGGCAUAGACGGGGUCUAACUGAGGCCUAGUAGGAUCGGGAUGGGGCCUAGUAGUACCAUGGUGGGACCAAGUUUGGCUCUUAAGGCUGUUUGGAGCCUGUCCAGGGCCUGUGUGGAGCCGUGGCGAGGCUCCAGGCCCGAGAUGGAUUGAGUGUCGGCCCGAGGUGGGUAAUGACAUGUAGGGGGUGGGUGAUGACAUGUAGGGGGUGGGUGAUGUAUUUUAGGUAUAGUUGUCUUGAUUUGUAUUUUAGUGCUUUAUAUUUGAACAAUUGUUUGUAUAUAUAAUUAUGCUACAUAAGACUUGGUGACCGACUAUAACAAUUUAAAAAGUAGCAAAGUCAUUUCGCAACGUAUUUCCAAUUGACGUCAGACGGAAAUCAAGUUACGGCUCCACCUCAUCCUCACUCAGCCAAUCACCAGUCGACAACAAGCUAAAAGCUGGCGAAUUAUUUUAAACGCAAUCGAGGCAGUAGGAAAUGACCACAGACAGUCGGAAUUGUGUGUAGCGGAUUUAGUGACGCAGCAUCCAUGUCAUCUAAAGAGCGUUUGUAAACGGGACCCACACUCACUUAUACCGACCGGUAUAGGUCGGUCGGUUGCAUCGGUCGUAAAUGAUCGACUCUUUUUUCUGACCGACCUUGUUUGGUCGGUAAGUUGGUCGGAAAUGACAGCUUUUUGACCACAAUGGUAGUUCGGUUUUUACGGUCGGAAAUGAACACUUUGCAGUAUUGUAGAUUACACUUUACCCAAAUUUAUUAGUUAUCCUAUUCUUAACUAUAUGGGAUUGGAUUAAGUCGGUCUUAAAAAUUGAAACUCAUAUCUAAUUCAUUAAAAUCAUGGGAAAAUAUUCUUAACUCAAAUGUAUAUAAUAAAUAAUCACUUAACUCAAAUGUAUAUAAUAAAUAAUCACCUGAUCAACUGCAAUAAAAUCAAUUUGCUCAUUCAUAUAUAGGUAUAAUUACAAGUUCUAUCCAAAACGAAUCUACACAAACAGAAUGAUAGGCCAUUAAUAUACUAUAAUUAAUCGAAGCUGCUUUAAACGUAACUUAUUUAUAUCGUAAAAGUACACCAUACGUAUCACAGAUGCCACGGUAUUACAACGAUACAUGAAUAUCAAAUCAAUUAUCUUCGCGUAUUGCAUACGAGUUUCUUCCCAGAAAGGCGCUUUAAAUUAUGCCCAAACAUUCUUUUUUCGUAAUAUGCAUACAAUUUGAAAAGAUGCAGUCCAAAACAGUAUUUUAAAGGGAGCAUAUGCCCGCAUUAUAUGUCUAAGCAACAGCUAGCAAACAGAUGACCCAGAUCAAAAUUAUCGGGGAUUGAAAUUCAAAAUAGUAGUCCUCCCGUCUUUUAAUACUUUUAAUACUAGGGACAAUAUUAGAGAUCAAAUUUAUUGGGGGUUGAAAUUCAAAAUCUCACUUUCUGCUUUUUUUUGAUAUUUUUCCUGUUUGUCAUUAUCAUGUUGGCUAACAUACACUUUUGAUCGUUAGUAUUUUUAAUUUCAUAUUAAUAUUACAAUAUAAAUAAUUUCACUGUAUUAAAAUGUUGAAUAUCAAUCCAACAAGAUCGCUCACGAUUAUAUCUAUUCUUCUAAAUUAUACGUAAAUUAGUAAUUUAUCUCAUGUAUGAACAGCCCGACCUGACAUAUGAAACAAGAAAAGUAACUCAGAGAUGAAGGAAGUACUGAUUAUUCUCGAUCAGCCACAUUUUAUAUGAUAUAGUGAUGUUUAAAAAUAAUUAAUAUCACCGAUUUUUCUGAAUCAACCCGGUCUUCGUCACGUGUUAGCCUAUUUCCGUCACUGAUCGUUAAUAUAAUAACACUAAAAAGUAGAGCGAAAUAAAAAUGCAAGAAUUUUGGAUGAACGUGACGCCAUCUUCACCAGUACUACGAGUCUGCAAUAAGCAACACGACACGAUCGCAUGCACUAUCUCCAUUAGUGAAUAAGAAUUCGACACACACGUAAAGCUGUGAGGAACCAAGUCCCUUUUUUCCUCUUUAUAUCUUUUUCUUUGACACCAAUAAAGAUGGAUACUAUAUUUCUGUCAUGCAUGAAUGAAGAAGAAUCGGAAGAAGAGACGUAGAGAAACAGAGUAAGUAUUUUUUAUAUUGCAACAAACUAGAUCUAAAUAGUGGCCAAUAGUUGCACAAGAGGAUCGAACACCCAAGUGGACGAUAAUAAUCUCAACCUUAAUCUUUCUAUUAAUAUUUUGGUAUCGUUCUUACUGUAAUCUAUUCAGUUUUAUUUCAUGGUAUCACCUGUUUUUUUCGUUACAACUCACCGGUGAAUAUUCCUGCUUCGCUCUUUACACCGUGAUCACCUCAGAGCAAAGAAUUCAGAAAAUGUUAGUACUUAUUUCAAGAGUUGAUAAUAUUUUUGACUUUUAAGAUUUUUAAAUUCAAACCAUGAAACCGCAAGAAAAGCAGAUAAAGUUGACAUUAAAAAUUGUUUCAAAUUUGAUACCAUCUAUGAUGUAAAUAUUUCCACUUUCAAUUGGCGCCAAAAAUUUUAAUGUUUACAAAACAAAACCAAUAAAUUUUAACAUGUUGCUGCAAAAGAUUAUGUUGAAUUUAGGGCAGUUUGAGAGUUGUGGAUACUGUGAGAAUAAGUGCUUUUGCAAUGAGAUAGUUAUUUUUAUUUUGACAUUUGUAUAUUUUGAGUUGUAAUAUAGGAAAAUACGAGUUUUGUGAAUUGACAGUGAAAUACGGCACUUCGAAAAUCAAUUUUAUAAAACAACUUAAUUCACCUAUAUUUUGAGUUGUAAUAUAGGAAAACACGAGUUUUAUGAAGUUGAUAGUGAAAUACGACAAUUCAAAGGUUUUAAAAAACACGAAGAAACGAAUUUUUUAUAAAAUAUAUUCUGAGCAAAAAAUUAUUAUAGAGAGAAACUACGUACUUUUAAUUCAACAACUUAAUUCACCUAUUUUCAACAGGAAAGAUAAUUACCAAAAUUUCAAAAAAAGAAAGAUAUUAUUGUCUCCAACUGUGAUUGAGAUCUUAGAUGUCAAAUUUAUAACAUAAUAUUUUAUGUUUUUAACUAAAAGACUUGCAACAAAUGAAAUUUAUUUAUUUAUUUAUUUCUUUGCCAUAGCAACAAAUGAAAUUAAAACCCCAAAAUUUAAAGGGUUGGCUGCAAUUAUAUAUCCUCCCAUUAUAGUUACGGUUAUAUACAUUAUCAACCAAUUAGUGACGAAUAUUAGUGGACAAUUAAUUAAACAAACACUUGCGUCUAACAUUCACGUUCGAAGAAUUUCUAACCUAGAACUGUUUAAUUAAUAAAGACGAGCCUGGCCCGAACACAUCUCCUCCACACAAGUGUAUAGAAUAUGACUAAUGGGUGAUAUAAAGUCAAAUAAUUAUAUACAUACUAUUACAUGUAUAUUUUAUAUACGUGUUAAUCAAUAAAGUUGAAAUGACCUUACCAAAUGACACUAAUAUAUCACUGAAAUAUAAUCUUGACAUAAAGUUGAUAGUGAGAGGGCUCCAUUGGGGUCUAUAUUAUGAGUCGCACAAUCUGCUUCUCGUGCUCCCUUCACUAUAAGUUCUCAAUAUUUACUUGUAUUUGCAUGUGAACCAUCUUAAUUCUAUUAACCUAGCUAGCUAGCUCUUUCUCUUCACUUUCGAGUCAUUCGAAUUCUGCCAUCAAAAUGAUGCCACUUGAUCAGCAUGAUCAAGCGACUACUCCUCGCAGUCCGAUUAGCAUUCAAGUGAAUAACAAGCCGGAUAACAUCUCGGUUUAUGCGGAGCCGUUUGAUUCGGCAGGUAACACUAGGCCGUGCGGGGAAGAACAAGUUUCGAAUCAACAGACUGCAUCGCCAGUGGGGGUUUCGGUGCUUCGGACGUCGAGAUGCUCGGUUACACUAAAGGUAUGCUAAUUGCUAAGAUACUGUGUAGGCCCCUAUGUUAGGAUAUAAUAGUCGUUUGUUAUAUUUCUAUUUACAAAAAGAAAUUUUUAAAAUAAUAUUGACAAAUAUGUGGUCGAAACUCUUAAAAAUAUGUGAAAAACAGUCGAGAGAUUAAUAUAUCCUUAGAGGGAGUAUUUGCGUGCUCGUGUAUCGAAAUAUUGUACCGAAAGGUAAUAAUUUUGUGAUGAUUUAAUUGUUGGUGCAGUUUGAAGAUGUCGGGUACAGUAUCAAGCUGCCGGGAGACAGUGGAGGGAAGUACUUAGCUUCGUGUAAACCUAAUAAACAUGCAAUCAAAACUUUACUUAAUGGAGUGAGUGGAAUUGUUAAGCCCGGAGAAUUGCUAGCAAUGCUUGGUCCAUCCGGGAGUGGAAAGACCACAUUACUAACAGCUCUAGCCGGAAGACUGCCUGGUAAGAUCUCGGGCAAGAUAACGUACAAUGGAGUACCCUUCUCGAGCUCCAUUCGUCACAAAACAGGCUUUGUCACUCAAGAUGAUAUCUUAUAUCCGCACUUAACUGUGUUAGAAACCCUAACUUAUGCUGCUUUGUUAAGGCUGCCGAAAACUCUGACAAAAGAAGAGAAAAUUGAACAAGCCGAGUUGGUCAUAAUGGAGCUUGGAUUAACAAGAUGCAGGAAUAGCCUUGUUGGCGGGCCGCUGAUCCGGGGAGUUUCUGGCGGGGAGAGGAAAAGGGUUAGUAUAGGGCAAGAGAUGCUCGUGAACCCUGGAUUGUUGUUGUUAGAUGAGCCUACUUCGGGACUGGAUUCGACCACUGCUCAACGGAUUGUGAUGACAUUGAGAGGGUUGGCACGAGGAGGGAGAACUGUGAUUACCACAAUUCAUCAACCUUCAAGUCGGUUGUUUAGGAUGUUUGAUAAGGUACUGGUGUUAUCCGAGGGUUCUCCUAUUUAUAGUGGUAAUGCUGAACAAGUGAUGGAGUAUUUCAGCUCCAUCGGUUAUGCUCCUGGCUUUAAUUAUGUGAAUCCUGCUGAUUUUCUGCUCGAUCUUGCCAACGGUAUGAAAACUUUUUCAAGUUAACUUCAUAAAAUGAUAUACAUGAAUUAUGUAAUAUGAUAUACCUUAAUUAAGUUGUGAUUAAGCUAAAAACUGAUAGAAUUAUUGUUCCGUACUUAUGAAAAUGUUAUGGAAAUACGUAGAAUAAUUAUUCUGCACUUUCUUAAGAGUCCCAGGACAACUAUUUAUAUUGUUCUCGUGCUAAAGCUGCGGCCUUAAAUAGAAUACGAACAAACACAUCAAAUUUUUUAAAGUAAGGUGAAUCAUAUAUAAUGGACGGCAUCUCAGCUACAAUAGGCGUACAUGUAGCCAUAUCCAUAAAACAGCUAAGUAAAGUAACAGGGAAACACAGUGAUCCUUGUGAUUUUUGAGAAGGCGAAAGCUCAACUGUACAUAGUGGUCCAGACACUCGUAGGACCCUAUUUUAAAGGAAAGAUGUAUGUGAUCAUUUUCUUCUUUUAAUAUGAGAUAUUUGAGGCAGAUUAUAUGAUUAUGCUUCAAACUUUAUGCUUUAAAUGGGUGACUGCAGUCUAGUUUCGAAUUUAAGUGACCCUGCUUUUCUACUUUCACUCUUAUUUCUUCCUCUUUCUGUCUGCCAUAUAUAUAAUUAAUAUUAUUAUCUCUUUGUAUUAGUUAUUAUCGAAUUUCCUCUAAGGAAAUAAGGAAUCAUUUAAACAGUGCCAUGAAAUAUGAGCUUAUAUGAUAAUGUCUUUAAUUUCAACAGUGUUAAAUUAAGUUUUACAGUGCUUCAUUGGAUGGGAUAGAAUGAAUUCUAUGUUAUUAGCUAAUUAAGGUGUAUGUAUGGGGAAAAAAUUUCAGGUGUGGCUCCUGAUCUAAGACAGGAUGAGUCACCAGAGUUUCAUGGCAUAAAAGAUCAACAUGAUGACCAGAAUUUAAUUAAAAAAUCAUUAGUUGGAUCUUACAAGAAGAGCAUCUAUCCUUGCUUGAAGGAAGAGAUUGCUAGGACUUGUCAAGACCCUCCUGGAGGACCAUUAGCCGCAAGAAGUAAGCACGUUCACGAACUCUAUAUAUUAGGCAUAUAUCUAAAUCAUUAACUGAACAAUUAGUAUCAAUUCCAUUGGUAUGUGUAGUCAUAUAGUUCUAACUUCUAUCUGUCCCUGCAGGAUCAGAAAAUCAAUGGACAACCAGUUGGUGGUUGCAAUUUAAGGUGUUGCUCGUAAGAGGUCUACGCGAAAGAAAACAUGAAUCUUAUUCAGGUCUUCGCAUUUUCCAAGUCAUGUCUGUUUCCAUUCUUUCGGGCCUUUUAUGGUGGCAUUCUGAUACUUCCCACAUUCAAGAUCAGGUAACUCCAUUGUUGCAACUCCUACAGGAUAUAUUAUUAUGGUCUUCUGUCGUGACAAUAUUAUUGUUUCAUAAUUUGACAGGUGGGACUUCUCUUCUUUUUCUCAAUUUUUUGGGGAUUCUUCCCUUUAUUCAAUGCCAUAUUUGCCUUCCCUCAAGAAAGACCAAUGCUAACAAGAGAAAGAUCUUCAUCAAUGUACCGUCUCUCCUCCUAUUACUUUGCACGAAUAGCUGGAGAUUUACCAAUGGAACUGAUCCUCCCAACCAUCUUUGUAACGAUCACAUAUUGGAUGGGAGGCCUCAAGCCAUCAUUUCUCACAUUUUCACUAACACUGUCCAUUAUACUCUUCAAUGUGUUAGUUUCCCAGGGAUUAGGCCUCGCCCUCGGAGCCAUUCUGAUGGACCUUAAAAAAGCCACUGCCUUAUCUUCAGUGAUCAUGCUUGUGUUCUUGCUUGUUGGUGGAUACUACAUUCAGCAAAUGCCGGUAUUUAUAGCAUGGAUGAAGUACUUGUCGUUUAGUCACUACUGCUAUAAGCUUUUAGUGGGAGUCCAGUACACAAAAGAUGAAGUUUAUGAGUGUGCACUAGGAGUGCAUUGCAGAGUGCAAGAUUUUCCAGCAAUUAAAGUUGUGGGGAUUGGAAAUUUGGUCUGGGACGUAGCUGCUUUGACUGUUAUGUUGAUUGGUUUCAGGGUUUUGGCUUAUAUAGGCCUAAGGAGAAGCCAAUUUCAUUAACUUGGACUUUUAUGUUGUAAUUAGUAAAUAAAUACUUGAGCUAGAUUGAUUAAGUAAAUUAAUCUAUGAGCUGAAUCAAGCUAAUGAAGUUGAUCAAUAUAUCUUGACAAUCGCUUGCUGAUCACAUUUUCUUUUCUUUUCUUUUUUCCGUAGAAAAAGUAAUCUCACUGUAAGAAAACAGGCUAAAACCGACCACUUAAAACUGACCGCACCAUUAUUAGAAAUGGAGCCACGUGGGACCACAUUUCCGAGAAUCCAAAUUAGCAUAACCGACCACCUAUACGGUCGGUUAUAACUCUUAAAAACGACCAAUUUGCAUAACCGAUCAGGGUUCAACCAACCACGAUUAGCGGUCGGUUUUAGCCUUAUAACCGACCGAUUGUCGUUAUAACCAACCAACCACGAUUAGCCUUAUAACCGACCGAUUAGCGGUCGGUUUUAGCCUUAUAACCGACCGAUUAGCGGUCGGUUUUAGCCUUAUAACCGACCGAUUAGCGGUCGGUUUUAGCCUUAUAACCGACCGAUUAGCGGUCGGUUUUAGCCUUAUAACCACGAUUGCCGUUUUUGCUUGAGUAGUAAGUUCGAAAAACAUCACAAUUUCAAUAAUCGUUGCAAGUAUGAUAAAGCGUCACAAGUUUAAUCCAACAUAUGUAACCAACUACGGUGUUUGUGAUGAACAUCUGUCGUAAAUUCGGAGAGAAAACCUUAAACUUACGAAGAAUCAAUUGUGCAAAUGCAGGUAGGGUGAUUAUGUAAUUUGAAGGAUUUGCAUUACUCAUAUAAUUCUUCUAAAUUCGUACUGAGGAGCAUUUCUCAAUAAGAAAUGAAAUAUGCAAAAUAAUAAUAUAUAACAAUAAAGUAUUACAAACAUAGAAUUAAAAAGAACCGGAUUUGCACAUGCAGCUGAGAGCUGACAAGAAGAUUGGCUGAAUAGUUGAUAUUAUCAACUAGGAGCAGAGAAUUGGAUGCUUGGAGAAUAUUAUUGUUUCAAUGGAACUACCUAAGAAGAUAACUCAUGUUAAUAUUCUAUGCUCAAAAAAUGCUUCAGUACAUCAUGUAAUUGUUCAAAUUCCUUCAACUAGUGGGUACCUGGAUGUGUAUAAAUAGCCUAUGAAACUAGCUAAAUAAUGCAGUUGAGUUCAGCAAUUUGAAUAAUCUCUGGGUUCCAGCUAAACAAAAGAGUUUAUUCAAUGGCAUCAAUGAAGGCUGAAAAACCUGUUGGAACUUCACUCUUUGGACAAGCCAAGAAGGAGCCUGCCACUGGCAAAGCUACAACAAGUACCACCACCAAAGCUCCGGCUUCCAAGCCAUCCCCGAAGAAAGCUGCCCCAAAGUCUCCUGCACCCAAGAAGAAGGUAACAUAAAAACAGUCGUUAUCCAAAAGAAAACUUACCAGAUACACAAUUUCUUUGUAUUUGGAGUCAUUAAUUAGAAACGCCUAACUAUAGUCUCUGUGUGAAUUUAUUAGGCAGCACCAAAGGCGAAAUCAGCAGCAGCAAAACAGUAACAAGAAUCUGAGGGGAUUGAUAUGUUCUUCUCUGGGAGAGCAUAUGAUGCAGUUACAUAUAUGUCUUUAUCUUUCAAUGUCAAUCUAUAUGAAAUCAAAAUCUGUGUGGCCUAUAUU